UCACGGUUCUUGGCAAAGGUCUCUGGGUCAGCUGAGAGCCCAGCAGUGUCCCAACCGUAAUCACCAGGGAAUUCUCCAGUGAGGUAAGAGGGGGCCUCGCCAGAGAAGGGGCCCAAGUAUUUGACACGGUCCGGGCCAUACCACGGGCUGCCAGAUGAUACAUUUUUGGACUUGGAUGCGGUUUUGCGCAUGGUAAUUCGGCCCUCACCAACAAUGUUAGAAACAGAGGAACCGAGCUUGACAGCUUGGCCAGCAAGAGAAGGGGAGGAGAGAGCCAUUGUUGAAGAAGCCAUUUGAGAAAAAUGGAAGUGUAUUGACUACUGAGUAUUUCAGUCUCUCUAGACAAUGUGGGAAGGCCGGGUGCCUGUUGUUGUUGUUUUGGUAGAGACGUUGGUGGGUGUAUGUAUAGGUUUGAGGGUGCAUGAGGUCCUUAUCUUUGUGAUAUCUUCAUCUCUUUUCUGAUUGGUGAAAAUGAUGUUCAAGGAUUUUCAAGACGGAUCUCUUCGUUUGAGCUUUGAUGCUUUUCCCGUUGGCUUGAUAUGCUCCACUACUUUACUUCCGAACAACAAAACGAAAAAGGAAAAAUUAAAAAUCUGUUUUGGAUAUUAUUACAUGCUUCGAAUGAGCUCUAAGCCAAUUGAAUUUAGUCACUACUGUUUGUGGUGGUGAGAAACGUCUUCAUUUCCAGGUGGCUUGAUGUGUUCCACUAGUUAGGUCUCAAGACAUGCAAGGAAGAAGAAAAUAUAUCCGUUGAUCUCUGUAGCCAAUAGAAAAUGGCCACAUACUCUUUUCAUGAGAGAGAAUCUAAGGAUGAUAACUUGUAACACAACAGACAAUUGGUAGCGUUGUUAUCCACCAUAGUUCUUCACAUGAAUCCAGAAAUGACAAGACACCAUAGUUCUUCCGUUUUCACUUUCAGAUGGACAAAUUCUCACCCUCCCUCACAUGUAUAUAUUUUUGGUAAUAAAUUAUUGGAGGGGGGAGUUUACACAAAUAUUUAUUUGAUAUUUGGGAAUUUCGAACUUCUGCUCACAUAAGUGGAGGUGGAAGAGCUAUCAACUAAGUUAUACCCUACUAAUAUUCACAUAUAUUUAAUCCAACCUAAAAUGUCCACUAACUAACUAUUUUUUUUAAUGAGAGAAAGGAAACCAACAAAGACACGACCCUUUAGGGCACGCAAGCCCAAAUAGGUCCAAAUAAAAAGAAGAACCAAUAGAAAGAGGGAGACCACUCUGCCACAGCUUCGAAGGCGAAAGCAAAUGACCAAGGGAAGCAAGAGCAUCUGCAACCCCAUUGACUUCACGAAAGACAUGAGAGAAGGAGAUUUGAUCACAUAAUAUUGUGAGAUGUAGAAUAUCUUGGACAAGCUGAUUAAUGCACGAGGAAGUCGAGCAUCGCUUCAAAACUGAGUCAAUGACAAGCUUAGAAUCUCCAUGAAAUAAGAGUUUGGACCAACUCUUGGAAACAACAUAAGCCAAGCCAUCUCUAAGCUCCAAACAUUCCACCACAAUAAUAGAAUUGCGACCAAUCUUCUUAGCACCAACUAGCACAGUAUGAGCAUUAUCAUCUCUAAUAACAAAGCCGAUCGUAGCAUAACUAUUUAUUUAGAUAAAGAGUUUGUAAGUCAAGUAGUUAAUAAUAUUAUUAUUCAUCUAUUCAGUGGCGGAGUCAGGAUUUUACAUUAAAGGAGGCCCUUUAAAAAAAUUUAUAAAAUAAUUCAAAUAGGAGCACUAACUGGUUAGUAAGUUAAUACGAUACUAAUUACUCGGUUUAGCUCACUGCAUAAUAUCAUUUCAUAUUGAUUAAUAAUUUAUUCGUUCAUUACAAUCAUAAUUGUCCUUAAUUUCAUAUUAUAAAAUAAUUGAAUAUUAAUCUCAUAAUCUACACUAUUAAAGAUUCAUACUCAUACGUUAAUAAUUUAUAUUCCAACAGAGAGAAUAAAUACAAAAAAGUUCAUAAAUCCAAUAUUAAAGUACCCUACUACUCAGACAUGUAAAAAGGAAGGGAAAAAAAUCACAAAGCGUAAGCUUAAGUUAAACAAAAGAGGAAGAGAAAGAGAAGGGAAAAAAUUAGGAGUUUUUAGUGCAAAUAUCAUAACAUAAUCUAGUAGAUUUAAUUGAAAGUAAAAGAGUGAUUAAGAAGUUUAAUGGUUAAUUUAUACUACAAUUAUCGAUUAGUCGAAAUGGUCAUUGGUAACAUAAAUAUAUACUUUGUUGAUCAUAAUAUGUCACAUAGCAUUUUAAUCCUUACUAAUUGUAGUAUAAAUACUAUUAAAUCUCACAGAUUGGGACUCUUACCAAACAGUUAGAAGUAAGAUGAAUAUCAGUGAAUUUAGAGCCAGGUGAACUUGUCAACAAAACAACAAGUAGAUUAAAUGAGAGGUAAUCUACAGCAAGGCGAUAACUUAUCCUUUCAGAUCUUGAUGACCACUAGAAUUACAGUCUAAUCCAAUUUCAUCAACAUAAUUAAGCACAAUUGCCAAAACCAUUAGGAAAAGCACACUUCUCUCUCAAUCUCAGGCUCACUUGCCGGGAACAAAGUUUGUGGCGUAUGCCCAGGCAUUGUUGUUAACAGGGUCAGCCAAGUGGUCAGCUAAGUUCUCAAUUGGUCCCUUCCCUGUAACAAUGGCCUGCACAAAGAACCCAAACAUAGAAAACAUGGCCAGUCUUCCAUUCUUCAGCUCCUUCACCUUCAGCUCAGCAAAAGCUUCUGGAUCUUCUGCAAGGCCUAAUGGGUCAAAGCUCCCACCUGGGUACAAUGGGUCUGUCACCUCACCAAGGGGCCCACCAGCAAUUCUGUAACCUUCAACUGCACCCAUCAAGAUAACUUGUGUGGCCCAUAUUGCCAAAAUGCUUUGGGCAUGGACUAAGCUUGGGUUUCCCAAGUAGUCUAGACCACCCUCACUGAAGAUUUGGGCCCCAGCCUUGAACCAAACAGCUUCGCCGAACUUGACUCCGUUACGGGACAAGAGUUCGGGGAAAACACAGCCCAAAGCGCCGAGCAUGGCCCAUCUUGAGUGGAUGACCUCAAGCUCACGGUUCUUGGCAAAGGUCUCAGGGUCAGCCGAGAGCCCAGCAGUGUCCCAACCGUAAUCGCCGGGGAAUUCUCCAGUGAGGUAAGAAGGGGCCUCGCCAGAGAACGGGCCCAAGUAUUUGACACGGUCAGGGCCGUACCACGGGCUGCCGGAUGAAACAUUUUUGGACCUGGAUGCGGUUUUGCGCAUGGUAACUCGGCCCUCACCAACAAUGUUAGAAACAGAGGAACCGAGCUUGACAGCUUGGCCAGCAAGAGAAGGGGAGGAGAGAGCCAUUGUUGAAGAAGCCAUUUGAGGAAAAAUGAAAGUGUAUUAUUUGUGAAAAUCUUCAGUCUCUCAGACAAUGUGAGAGGGCCGAGUGCUUGUUUUCUUUGGGAAGAAGAGACGUUGGUGGGUAUUUGUAUAGGUUUGGUUCAAAGGGUCCUUAUCUUUCUGAUAUCUUCAUCUCUUUUCUCAUUGGAGAAGACCAAGUUUGAAAAUCUCUACCCUUCCAGUUGGCUUGAUAUGCUCCACUAGUUUAUUACUUCCCAAAACAGAAAGAAAAAUUAAUAUCAAAUUUGGAAAUUAUAUGCUUUGAUUUCUAGCCACUACUAGAAUUUUGUCCACGCACACUUUCUUUAUUUCCAGUUGGCUUGAUAUGCUUCACUAGUUUUUCUCCAGGGACAAAAAAAAAAAAAAAAAAGAGAUCAGAAAAAUCAAGUUUGGAUAUUUUAUAUUACUUCUAUCUUUGGCCAAUGGAAUUUGCCCACGUACUCUUUCGGAUGAGGGUGAUGAGAGAGGAAAAAUCUGAGUAUUCAAAUGAAUAAUUUAGAGCAACUCUAUUUUAACAUGAUUAUGUCUAAUUGAAAUUGUAGAGAAAAUUACUUCUUUUAUUAUGUGUUCUAAUCUAAGAGUGUGUCAGUUUAGAUGCAAUAUGGAUGCGGUUUUGGACAAAUGUGGCGGUUUGAUCUUAAUUUAGAUGUAGCUCUGGAACAUAGCUAAUGCCAUAGAACUUACAUUCAGAGAUUAGCACUACAUAUCCAGCAGCUUGUGCUGAGCCAUAAACUUAUAAGAGACUUCAGCUGCUGCUCUUACCAUAGAGGAGAGUGCUACAAAAUGUUGAGGGCAUUUCAUAUUGAAGAGGACGGAAGUCUAGCUUAAGAGUUUAGAAGAUCUUGGGCGUCUUCAUUCAUUGCUAAUUGAUUUUUAGUUGAUUGGAAGUUUAAAUUCUAAUAUAAUAUCAUGAUAGGCUAUUCAUGUGCCAAGCCAAACAAUCCCACAUGUUCCCCAAUAAGAAUUGUUCACUGAUUAAGCACAAAAGAAGCGACACGCGGGGGCGUGUUGAGAGUAUCUCACAUGAAAAGAUUGAAGUUUAUUUUAAGAUUUUAAAAGAUCUCUUAACUAAUUCCAUAGCAAUCUUGUUUUUAUUUAUUUAAUUGAGUUUAACUUGUAUUAAACUCCAUCACACACUGAUAUUGCAUUUUCAUGACAAGAUGGAUUGGCUGUGAAGGUGGUGCAACUUUUUAUUUAUUUAUGGCGUUUUACUUUCUAUAUUUAUUCAUCACCAUUUUUUUGGUAUGAGUUGGUGAAAACAAAUGCCAAUUACGAGUCUUUCCUCAUUUCUUGCAAGUCACAAUGUUGAUUCAUCGAGUUGUCAGAACUAAGAACAUUGAGUUUUUGAAGUAAGGUGAAAAAUUCCCAUACAAAUGUAUACUCAAAGAACAUUUAUCAGAUUUGUUCUUAUAUUCCUCUGCAUUGACCACCAAAUUUCAUCAGAAAAAAAAAAAAAACAAGAACACUUCAAAGAAAUCCCAUUCAAAACAGUGGCCCUCGCAAUUUGUAAAAACGCUUCUCUCUCAAGUUCUCCAUGCACCUCACUUCCCAGGAACAAAGUUUGUGGCGUAUGACCAAGCAUUGUUGUUUAACAGGAUCAGCCAAGUGGUCAGCUAAGUUCUCUAUUGGUCCCUUUCCAGUAACAAUGGCCUGCACAAAGAACCCAAACAUGGAAAACAUGGCGAGUCUUCCAUUCUUCAGCUCAGCGAGAGCCUCUGGAUCCUCUGCAAGGCCUAAUGGGUCAAAGCUCCCACCUGGAUAUAAUGGGUCAGUGAUCUCUCCGAGAGGCCCACCUGCAACUCUGUAACCUUCCACUGAUAACUUGUGUGGCUCAAAUUGCCAAAAUGCUUUGGGCAUUGACUAAGCUUGGGUUUCCCAAGUAGUCUAGCCCACCGUCACUGAAGAUUUGGGCCCCAGCCUUGAACCAAACAGCUUCUCAGAACUUGACUCCGUUACGAGACAAGAGUUCGGGGAAAUCAUAGCCCAAAGCCCCGAGCAUGGCCCAUCUUGAGUGGAUGACUUCAAGUUCACGGUUUUUGGUAAAGGUUUCUGGGUCAGCUGAGAGCCCAGCAGUGUCCCAACCGUAAUCACCGGGGAAUUCUUCAGGAGUCAGUACGGUAAGAAGGGGCCUCACCAGAGAACGGGCCCAAGUAUUUGACACGGUCGGGGCCGUACCACGGACUGCUGGAUGAAACAUUUUUGGACUUGGAUGCGGUUUUGCGCAUUGUAACUCGGCCCUCACGUCACCAACAAUUAUAGAAACAGAGGAACCGAGCUUGACAGCUUGGCCAGCAAGAGAAGGGGAGGAGAGAGCCAUUGUUGAAGAGGCCAUUUUAGAAAAAUGAAAGUGUAUUGUAUUGAGGGUUGCCUUUUAGACAAUGUGGGAUUGUCAAGUGCCAAGUGUCAAGUGCCAAGAGCGUUAGAGCUUCUUGGUGUUUGAGUAGGACGGUAUAUAAUCCUAUCCAAAAAAAAAGAAGACGGUAUAUAAUCUGUAUAUUUAUAGUGUUGGUGCAUGGGGUCCUUAUCUUAUCUAAGUUAUAUCUUGAUCUGUUUUCUUAUUGGUGAAAAUGAAGUUCACAGAUUCUCUCAAUGAAUCUCUCCCUUUGCUUCACUCCAGUUGGCUUGCCAGGCUCCACUGGUAAAUUGUAUUCUUCAAUCUCUUUGUCAAUUCUUGGUUGCUGUUCUAUUAUGGAUGUUUGAUAUGCCCUGACCUCUCUGACCAAUAGAAUUUUCCCACGUACUCUCUUGGAUGAGAGUUCUAAGAAUGUUGGAUAAGGAGAGAAGAAUCUAACAGUGAGAAAUCUGUGUUGGCUUCAUCAACUGGAAGCCCAAAAUGAAUGACUUACGCCCUUGAUUUGUAUACCAGAGGGUAUAGAUACAGAUCAUUAGCUAAAUAAUCUGGAUUCUGAAUUGAUGCAUGUCGUUUAACGAAUGGGAUCUAUGAAACUCAUGGUCAUUAUAAAGAAAAACAAAAUAAUACCACUCAGACUGAGGCCAAAUAAAAAAAGAAAAUGCCAUUCAGAUUGAGAAUUCAAUAUAGCUGUCAAUCAUGUCGAAAGAAAAAACUGUGUAACCUAACAUGAAUUAUACAUAAUCUAUAGUGUCCAGAGCAGUCCAACUCCGAUUUAAGAGAAUUCAUGAAUCCAUUGCUUUGGUGUUGAAGAUUUGAAUAUUCGGAGAAGCAAUGCCCUCUCUCUUCUGCCUAGCUUCUUUGCACCAUAACCCCGGAAAACACCAAGCUUAAGUGCUUUUUGCCCUUCUUCCAGACUUCCUUUUCUCACAGCCAUCAGUAAAUCUGUUCCUUGGGUACUAAUGUUCUCUUCUUUCCCACUUUCACAUUUCUCUUUGUCCACUACAGUUGAACUUGCACCAUCAUCUGCCAAUUUUUCCGACUGAUGUUUCUUGUCUUCAUCAGUCUCAGCUCCUUCUCCACGGACGCUCUCAUAACCAUCAGGGCUAUUGCUUCCCCACCAUUUAUUGGAUGCAGUGGAUAAGCCAUCAGAUGGGAAUCCAUGUUUAAAUUCAUCAUAGGUUGUAUUUCCUUUAGUCAAGCUUAAGGUGAGUACAUUCUGGGGACGUCCAGUCUGAACAUUUUUGCUUCCUUGCUGCUGCGCAGGAGGAGAAACUGUGAUGCCUUGUGAUUUCGCCAUUUCACUAUCAGGGUGUUGACAUCACUGCAUUCCAAAAGUUAAAAGGAGUAAGAUGAAUGAGAAGGACGAAGAAACAAACACUCUUUUUGAGUAACCAAGAAAAGAAAUUAAAGCCCUCUUUGAAUUUAAAAAAAAGGAAAAUGGCUCUUUUGCACAAAACUUUAAGGCAAUAAGCAACCCGAAAAUCCUACUGUCAGGCAAAAUGUGGUAUGUUAUUACAGCUAUGAAGUUAAUUGCAAGAAGAAGCAUCCAUCAAGGAUAAGUUACAGAUGGGAAUAACUCAAAAGAACAAUGAAAGAAGAAAGAUUUUUUUCCAGGGAACAUCAAAGAUGAGUCAAAGAAUUUGACAGGUAAAUGACUAAGUGGAAAGCACCACCAGGGAUCCAUACACUAGUCAGACUCUGCUUAAUACAUAUUCAAUCCCUUAUUAACAUCUAAAGCUGAAGCCUUAAUGUUCUAAACGCACUAUCAAUCCGAUACGUGUUUAAAAAAAUAAGUUUUUUCGUUUUUUUUCGUAGUUAAAAAAUCUAAUAAACGAAAGCUUGUUUUAAUAAUUUUUUUUUCCUUCUUUACCCCAGAGAGACAUUGAAUAGUAUCUAUAUGAAGAAGAAAUCAUGUAACGAAGGGGAUUCUUAUUUGUACAAAUGGUACUUGAAAAAGCACUAUCUCGUUGAAAGGUUCUAUACAUCUGCCCUUUCUCAAGGCAUUUCUAUGAUACAUGAAUAAGAGAAAAAUCCCCAGAUGAAACCCCUUACCUUACUUACCCCCGGUCCCUUUACUUAAGCCAAAAUGAAGGGGGCAAAAUUGCCCGAACCCUUGUUAUUUUAGUUAUGGUUUUUGAAGCAUAUCCAAAAAUUUCCUUCUUUUAAUCCUCAAGCAUAAUAUAUCAAGCCCAAAUAAAAUAAGCUCUUCCGUAUAAAUGCAGAAGUCUCUGCACACGUAGUGUCUUUGACCAAAUAGGAGAAAUAGCAACCAAAAAUCUAGCUGAGACUCGGCCAAGAUCCAAACUUCGUGCCCCAAUCUUUGGCAUACAAACCUAGUUUCUCGUAUCUUCAGAAAACCUUUCAAUCUCUUGUGCGGAAGAUUAUAAGAAUUUGAAGUAAUUUUUGAAAAAUGAAUCAUCAUUGUUAAAGCGGCAUUUUCUUCUCUACAGAAACACUUGAACACGCACCCAUCAAAUGAAUUACUUAAAAAUGCUAAUACGCAUUUCUUUCUAGAUGGAUUGUGGCAUUAUGGAAGUACAUUUCUAGCUUCCGGAAGCAAGAAAAGGUAAUUCCAAAACGACAUAGCUAAACGUUUAACAUGACGGGGCAGCAAAACAACAUUUCCCGAACCAAUUUCCAUUCUUUUCCCAGAAAUUUUACUGUCCUUGUUUAUUUUCUACCCUCGUUUCCCGGAAACCAAACAGAAGGCAAGACAUCAAACACAAAUUAAAUAAAUAUGCAUGAGAGAUAGAGAGAGAGUACCGAGAGCAGAAGCGGCAUGUCAGCGGGGAAGAAGAUUUAAUUCGAUACUUGAUGGGGGAAGAGAGAGAGAGAGAGAGAGAGAGAGAGAGAGAGAUUGUGCUAGUUCUUAACUCUCGAAGCCGGGAAGGCGUUUGGUAAUUGCAGUUUGCAACCUGAAUUUUGGGUUUUUUUUUUUCGAACCAACAAAAAAGACAGAAUUUUGGGUUUUUUUUUCACAGUUCCAACACACUCCUUUGGCCUAGGCAAGGCAACGGCCAACACGUGGCAAGAUCGAGUCAGUUGAAUUUAGUUUAUUUUUUUCCCUUCAAUUUUAUGAAAUGCUUAAUCGCUUUAAGUUUUUCUUUUGGUCAGAAAAAUCACUUAAAAAUAAAAACUUAGGCGGGAGUAAAAAACAACCUACAGAAUCAAUUCAAUCCAAGUGGUUGUAAUUUUUAAUCGGAGUGAAUUGUACCCCGCAAUUAAUUUGAUUCAGUUCAAUUUAAUUUUUUUCCUUGAAGCAGAUGCUCCCAAGGGUAGAUGCAAUUUUUUUCCUUUCCUUUUUCAUGUAGAUUAAUUUAAUUUAAUUUAAUUUAAUUUAUGAAAAAAAGUUUAGGGAAAGAUUGGCUACUCUCAUCACCAGCGUCAGAACAAACCCACAACCUCAAGUCUGGACUUGAACAUUGGUGGGACUACACAUAAUUCAAGGAGCUUAACAACUAAACCAACACUCGUUGGCGUUUGGUUUAUUUAAGUGCGUUUUUAGCUAUAUUUGAAAGUUUUUAUAAAAAUUGACAUUUAUGAAUUUGAAGGUUAAAUUUGGACUAUUAUUGAUAAAAACUUGCUGAAAACGGUGGAUGUUUUAAUCUGCUGUUAUAAAAUCUGAUUCUCUGCCUAAGCCAAAGGCAAAAGGAAAUCAAACCCAAACAUCCUCAGAAAGUUAGAGAUAUCUUACAAAUCCAAUGAAGAUUCAAAAUUUUGAAUUAAACAUCACAAGCGGAAACAAGGUAGCAGCAGCAAUCCAGUAGGUUUCUAUUCUAAUAAUAUACAUGAAAGUACGAAAAUUAAAUAGGCAGUGAGAGGCAAAUAAAAAGAAAUACAAGUCACUCUACUUGAUCUCCUCCCCCAUAAAAUUAGUAUCUGUGGUUCUGUGGAAUUUUUCACAUAAUAAAUUAUAUUCUAAUGUGGAUAUGAACCUGAGAUAUGCUAAAAACUUGGAAGCAGAUCAGAUGCCAUUUCAAGUCUGUUCCCGUGACGUCGUCUUGUCUUUCCUCCCUGCAAGAAUCAUUGAAAUUUGUAGGCCUCUACUGAAUGCUUGGUUGAAGAGCAAACGUGUUUGGAACUCCGAUACGAAUGGGAACCAUGACAAAAUGGCUAUGGGCAUGAAGAUUAUAAGUCCCAUUAUAUAAUCGUAUGCUCUCCCCAGCUCCUUUAUUGACUCCCAGAAUCCUAGACCCUUAACCAUCCUCCUGCAUGCUUGCCCAAUCUUGAAAGCACAAAAUUAACAAUUGGUUUAGUAAAUUCACACUUUAAAUGAAUGUUAAUGUUGUUAAGAGUUUAGGACAUCUUUUUUUCUGAGCAUAAUUUUGAGAAAGGCAUUUUGAAAAGAAAACUCUCAACGCGCUAUUGCAUAAACUACAGAAGACAUUUCACUUACCAGAAGAAGGGCCCAUCCUGUGGGCAAGAAGGCAAGCAUAGCAGCAAAUAGAUCUGAGAUAGUAAGGCCACAAACAACAAAUAGGACAGUCAUGACUGACAUGAAACCAAGAAAAAGAAGUGCUUUCAGAAUCCUGAACAUGAGCUGGAAGUCUGUGCCAAAUCUUCGUCUACCCAUAGAAACCAUCUGUGAGAGAGAGAGAGAGAGAGAGAGAGAGAGAGAGAGAGAGAGAGAGAGAGAGAGAGAGAGAGAGAGAGUGAGAGAGAGAGAGAGGCACCAAAAUAAACAUCAGACCAAAUAAAGAGAUAUAGAAAUAGUGAUCCCAGAAAAGAAAAAAAGGAGAAGGAAAAAGUAAAAAGGAUGCUUAUGUUUUCAUCAUUAAUCUCUAAAGGCAUAAUUGCAUAAGUUAUUUGUGAUUUCUACCUUUAAGACGAGAAGAACGGUUACCAUAACUACCCAAGAAAGUCCAUAAACCUGCAAAGAAAUUGAAAAAGUUGGAAAACUUAGGCCGUAAACCUAAACAACUCUUUAUAGGCAACCAAGAGAACAAAUAGUCAAAUAUAAUGGGACAUAAAUAAUACCAGCAGAUUCUUGCUGUGAUGAGCUAUAUCAAGGUGGUAAACAAUUCCAUAUUGGUAAACAAAGAAGCGACAUGCAAGUAUUAUCUCAAUAACUCUUCCCCGGAUAACUGUGUGUUUGAGGUGUUCCUGUUCUUCAUCCCACCAUGAUUCCCAACUUUUGUCAGGUGAGAUCCCAAUACCACCACGAUUUCCCAUCCACCUCUUCCAAUCUGUCCAAUCAUCUACAGUUUUCUGCCAGUCAAAGCUGGAUGGAUUGAAUACAAAAGGAGCAAACAACCAGGAAGCAACCAGAAACCACAUGGAGAAAGUGAUGAAAAAAUAAAGAUUUGAGCUCUUAUAAGCUUUCCCGUAGACUCCAUACACAAUCAGCAGAAUAAACAGCUCCAACCCUUUCACAAAGUGACUGCGCGAGUAUAGCCUGUAGUUCUCGGAAAACUUGGCAUGGAAAACAACAAAACCACGGCCAGUUGCUCGGUAUUUAGAUCCUCCAUGUAAGAUUGUCCUUCCAUAGUAAUGUACUUUUGUUCCUAGUUGGAAUGUGAAGAAAACAGAGGCCAGCUGCAGCUGCAUGAUGAUAAAAUCACCCAACGCAGUGCGGAACCCUUUCUCCAGGCCAAUUUCCAUUACCAUGGGAAGCACAAGCAACAAGCCCAGUUGAAAGACAGACUGGGUAGCCAAAGACUCUUCGAAGGCCUUGUUUUCAUGUAUGGCUGGGUUAUCCAGGAUCUCGCUCUCCAAUCCACUCAUGACCAAGUAGACACGUCCAUAUAAAAACACAUAUACAGUCAGCACAGUUACCUGAAACAAUAUAAUGCCCAUAUCAAGAUGCAAUACAUACUUCAAAUUGUAAAAGAUUACACCCUUCCAAGCAACAUCUACACAUAAAGCCAAAACCAGCCAAAACAAAUCCUCAAAACUUUAGGCGUACUCUUCCUAUUGAUGCAAUUCUUAGAUUCAAUCAAUUUAGCUGUCAUGAACAUUGUAUUGGUAACAUCUACAACUAUUGUACAAUUUGAAGAAUCGGAUCACUUAACAUGAAUCAAACACAGCCAACCUAGUCCUUUAGAGAAAAGAUUCUUUAAUCAAGUGCAAAGACUGCCGUCCAAGCCUAUCUGCUAUAACCUACUAGAGAUACUAAGUAAAUCAAUAAACAAAGGAGAUUGGUUUUAGCUAACAUACCAUACUACUAAAAUAGAAUCCAACGGUUGUGAAGUAAAAAGACAGCAUUCUAUAGAAAUCAAACCGACGCCCAAGCCGGUAAACAUCGCGGCUAAGUGUCUGUUCUCCAUUUCCAUUUGCAACCUUAGCCUCAAAAAGCGAUAUUUGAUUCAUUCCCACAUCACGCCCCUUGCCUACUUGGAUAUACUCGUGAUGUGUUAUAAAUCCCCCACGCAUAGUUGAAUUGUACCCUGUAGACAUCCAACAAAAUUACAAUUAGUCAACAGAUAAUACUUACUAGUCAGGGAUCUUCUGAUGAAUGGCAAAAUUACCUGCAAAUAUAUCCUCGCUUAAGUUAAUUACUUUUGAAGCUUUGCUUAUGCCACCUCUUGUUAUGUGGAAGAUUCUGUCAAAUAUAUCAGGAUGACCAUAAUGGAACCGUACCCUGUCAAGUGAGAUUGGCAUUAGAGAGAUACUAGAAUGGUAAUAGUACAUAAAUACAUCAGAACUUUUCCUUUUCUUAAAAAAAAAAAAAAAAAAGAAAAGAAGAAGAAACGAUUGGAUUGUGAAAAAAGAAAGGCAAUUGAGGAUUGGAUUACAAUUCUGGCGGCUAGAGUUAAAUGGAAACCCAAGCCCAACCUGAGAUUGAACAAACUAUCCAUACCAAUAGCUACGGCCUAGGAUGUGCUGAAUUUCUUCUUUUUAACUUGCAAAAGGUGAUUAAGGCAUCAUUAGCCCGUGACAUGAAACCAAUUUAAACUAGGCUUCCCCCUUAAGUAUAUACUUCAGAAAAUUCUAAGUUCACAUUUGAACAGUGGAUUGUACUUCCAUAUAUGUCAUCUGGCAUAACUUUGGACUAAGACUGUUAAUCAUUCUCUAAAAUAGAAAAAAAAAUUAAAUAAGACACUUUUAACAAUCUUACAUAAUCUUUACCAUUCUCUUCAAUUUUUAUUCACCCUGUCCACUGCCUAAACCUUUAAAUAUUAGAAGCCACACAUACUCCACAAUUUUUUGAGAAAAGAAAACUGAGGAUAUGGCAAAAUUUACGCUGACUGGUCCGGUCUGUGAAUUGUACUGUGCUGAUAUUAUUCCCAUUAUCGGUAGAAAUAAAAUUAUAAAUAUGAUACGUACAUAAUAUUCUAUUAUAAAGUAAAUAGGACUCUUCUAUUAAGGUCCCCCACCCAUUUAAGAAAAGAAAAGGCAACCAAACAAAGAAUGUACAAAUUUAAACUGAAAUGUGGCUCAGUCAAAUGUAAUUUAAGGCUUACCUCAGCGGAUUUGCCAAAAUUCUUUGACCAAUAGUUACAAAACUAGUCUCUUGAUUCGACAUAAACCAAGCAAGUGAUGAAACACUGAAAAUUAAGAAGGAAAAACAAAAAUAAGCACAUAACAAUACAAUUGCCACUAAUCAGUAACAUAUCUGCAAAGAAUCUCUGUCACAGCAGUCAAUUAAGGUCCAAUAAAUUGUGAAGAGAUAUAUUAAAAGGCUGACCUUCCAGUGAAUAUAUGCUCCCGUAGCCCCAAUAUUGUGGGUUUCCGUUGCCCAAGACGAGGCUUUAGGAAUUCCUCCAACACAUUUCUCAUUUUGAAAGCUUCUUCAAAGUAAUUAUCCUGGAAAAAAGGAUGAAUAAGGCACAAUAUAACACCUUUUCCCCCUCUCUUUUGAUACAAUGAGCAACUUUCUAAAGCUAGUUUACAUAAAGACACAAGGAAAGCUACCUGAUUCAUGUCUAUUGUCUGCAGGGCUUCUCCACGAGUAAAGAUAAUGGCAUGAUUUUGAUUUUCAGGUUUUCCUUCACCAAUUACUGUUGGAGGACCUGGAAGCUUGAUGCGGUAUAUUUCCUACAAUGUAAGAAAAUUCCACAAACUAGUUAUCAACUAUCACCUACAUUUGAUACGGCUCAUACGAGAGCAUUAAUAUCAAUACAGGUAGGCAGGAGCAGCUCUAAAUUACUCCAUUAUUUGUUUGGUUGCCUUGACACUUGGUAUUUAAGAAGGUUAUAGAUGAGAUGAGAGAGUAAGUGAUAGGUAGACAUUCCACAAAAAGGUAAAAAUUGUCUACAACAAAGUGCAUAUCUAAUAAAAGAGAUUAGAGAUGAAGCUAAACAACCAAUGGUCAAGAAAUGAAAAGCACAUUCUUAGAUAAGCAAACUACUUGUAAGAUCAUGGGCAAGUGCCUAACAAAGUGAGAUUUAGGGAACAAGAUCUUAGCUUGUGUCUAGUGAUAGAAUAUUUCAUAACACAUAACAAGAUCUUAGAAUGAAAAUCUUUUUCCUAUUGGAAAAUUGAAAUUAUUCAGAAAUUAAAUGGAAAAUGGGCAACGGUAGUUUCAGCUUGAACAAAUGGCAUGAAGAAGAAUUAACUAUGUUCAUACUAUGCAUAAAAUGAUAAAACCGUGAUUUGUUAAAACAUUCACCAUAGAAAAGUACUAUUACUUAAUACAACUAUGUUGUACAAGAAUAAGUUUCUUCCUUUUCCUUUUUUCUUUUCAUACUCUAGCCCUCCACUACAUACAUGCUUCUAUUUUAUUUAUUAAAAAUACCCACGAUCUCUCUUGUGUUAUUAUUCUUGGUCUUGUCCUCAUCUCCAAAAUUAAAACCAUAAGUUUAAAAUACCAAUUACUUUCAGUGCUUCUUAAAAAAAUCCGAUGUAUUCAUGCACAUGGCAGAAUAUGUUACAAAAAGAAAAGAAAAAACUUAUAAAUAUUUUCUACUGUAGAAAUAACAGAAAUUUAUUAUUCAGCAAAAUUACACCAAGAUUGAAAGAAAAAUUCACUUUUGUAAUAAAACCUGAAUAUUUAAAUUUGAGAAAUAAUAUUAAUUUGAAGGAUUGUUCCUUCCAAUUUUAGGCAAACAAGUUCUUCAAUAGCUUUAUUUUUCUUUGUAAUAGUGUAAGGCACAUGGUAUCCACAGUUCACGGUCUAUAGAACUAGUUGUUUUUUUUUUUUCCAUACCUCAUCCCAUUUGUCACCACCCUUGACUAGAACAGAGAAGUGAGCUUUUUGUGAUUUUCCAUUCACAUGCUCCUCCCUUGUAUCUAUGUAAGCAACACGUAGAGAUGGAUACCUACAAAAAAGAACACAUAAUUAAAGAUGCCAUAAACAAUUUAAAUAAAAAAUGAAACUACAGAUUGUUCAUCCUAUGGUAAUAUUGACUCACGUUAGCAUCAGCUUCAGGAUAUUAGAGUAAGAACUUUUGUCUCGAGGAUCAGGAGAAUUUUUCUGAGCACCAUACAUCUGACAAGAAACUACAUAAGUAAACUUCAAAUCUGCCAGAGCUUGUGCACGAUCAAGAAAAGCCUUCUCAUCAUUUUCGCUUAAUUCCAUGGUGUGGUAGCCUCCCAAAAUAGCUGCAAAAUAACCAUUUGCCACUUUACUAGCUUUUACAAAAAUUUUGGAAGCAAAAUCAGGAACUUUGAUCUGGAGAUCAAAAACAGCAUCUGUCACAGAAAUUACUAACCACUAUCUCCUGCUGUUUCCAGGACACACUGAAUGUCUAGAGCCUUCCUAUAGUACAUCAUCCCCCUCACUAGCAGAAAAAUAUAGAUAAAAAGUUUAGGUUCAAAGCUUUAAAUGAUACUUGUACAAGAGACCAAAUUACUCAUUAUCCAGACCUGUUCUAGAAAGUGUCUGUCCCCUAUAAGAUACCCACUGGCGAAUUAACUCUGACUUGUCCUUAUCAGAAAACUCAUUCUUAGGAUCCUUUAUGCGAUCCUGGAAAUUUGUCCAUUCAUCUAUUUGGCAGUCAUAGUUAGUUGGCAGGGGUAAGUUCAAGUCAAUUCCAAACAAUGAAAAGAAUAAUACAAGAGUGAGACUCCAACGCACCAGGAUAUAUUUUCUGCAGGUAGAACAAAAUUGAGAUUCCGUCCUCAUUUUCCUUCGUAAGUUCAUCAUCAGAAUAGAGGACAUCUUCUUUGUAAUAAGGAGUCAGAACACUGAACCAAAAAUCAGGAAGAAAAUUUGAUCUUAUAGUAGAAACUAUUAGAAGACCACCACAAAAUAUAUAGUUGAUAAAAAAAUAAUAUGCAUCCACUCAUAUGAUACAGAUCCUGAAGCAAAUAAGCAAAUCUUGAAAGUGGUACGAGAUACAUUAUCUUCAAUAAAAUUUUAACAUGUUAAUACAAAAACCAUAUUGAUCCCUCACCUUUAACCAAAUCUCAGCAACAUCAGUUUUCUUAAGAGGUUAAUUCCCUAUUUCAUUGAACAGCCCAAAUUUUCCCAAUACAAAUUUGGUGUUUAUAGUGACUGACCUAAAUGAGAGCAUGUCACGAACUUUGGGAGCACGUGGCAUGUUCAUGAAUAAGGAGUUUGCAAAGAAGGUGAUGCGCCUGCGAGCUUCCAAGUUUUGAGGCACAUUGAUGGCAGAUUCCUUGACGGUCAAAAGCAAAUGAAGUCUAACGACCUAUGUUAAUGUAGAAGAUAGUAAGACUAAAAGAUCUAAGAUAUUCAGUUAAUGUCAUUACCAAAAGAAUGCCUGCCAAAGUUACCUUCUCCCUCCAAGCUGUAUUCUGUGUAAGGAAUAUGUUAAUCUUUUGAAACCUUUGCUCCUUCUUGACAUUUUGACCAUCAAUGUAGUGAGCUGCUUCCAGUAUUCUACAAAGAGAAGAGGAACAUUAACAUACAGGUGACAAAAAGGCUCAUUCAUUGGUGAAAUAUGACAGUUUUUGUUCCAUCUCCAGCAUGUAUUUAUUUCUUAGUACUCACUGAUGGCCGUUGACCAUUACAUCCUGUGUGAUAAUCUCCAUGAUAUCUUGAAGGACAUUGAUUAUCUGACGCAUGGAAUUCUCGACAUUCUCAUCUUCGGCAAGCUGCUACAUACCAACUUAAAUACUCAGACAGGACUAGUAGAAUGUGCAGACAAUGUCUAUCAGUUCAUUGCUAAAAACUCAGCAUUAAAAAUUAGUAAGGCACGAAGGAAGUAUGUUACCAAGAGUUUUAGAAAUUUCUCCAACCUCUCGCUAAGAAAUGGCAGCCCACUCAUCCGGAAAUAGGUCAAAAAUUUUUCCUGCUGUAUACUACUGUCUACUUCGUAACAUAUCUGCUUUACAAUCCUGUUAUAUAAGAUGAAACAAACUUUCAUAUGCUUCUUAUAAAAGAAUGGUAGUGUUAAUUUUUUCAAUAAAAAAAUGUGUACGAGCAGGUUGUGGCUAUCUAUGACAUUCAACCUGGUAUGCUUCUGACUUACAUCUUAUCCGCUGCAUCAUCCAGAAGGCCAAAUAUAAUAUCCCUAAGUGUCUCAUAGCAUUCAAUUACUGCCGAGUACAUAUAAUCAUCACUCUUAAUCUUUCUAAAUAAAUCAUCAUCUGCCUUCCCUGUAAAAUCUUUUGCCAUGUCUAAUGCUAUAGGAAUCUUCACAAGUAAAAACAAAGUAUAAGAGUCGCAUAUUUGAUUUGUAUUGAACAUUAAAUUAACAAAUGAAGCCAUGCAAAAUGUACCUUACUAGCAAGCAAGAAAGGAGGCCACUGAACAACAGACACAUCAUUUGAAGAAGAUGGAACAAGCAGCAGAUCUUUAUCUCUGAAUGGUUUAAAUUGAAAGGAUAUAAUCAGAAACUUACAAAAAAGGCACUGAAAGGCAAAUUAGAGAGCAAAGUAGUCAACCUAUUGCUGAUCAGGUCUUCCAAUCGCAUAGAAUUUAUGAACUCAUUCCACACAUAAGAGAAAUCGGCAAUGUUCUUUCGUUCGAGUGCCUCAUCCUGCCACAUCAAAGUGUUUACUUUUAGCAAAACACAUAGAAGAUGAAAGGCUCUAAGUCAUAAUUGUUUCAUUGACAAGUGCAAAACAAAUUACCCACAUCUGCAUGUGGUAUGCAAAUCAUUUAUCUUGUAUAAAAUACAUUACGUGGAGCAAAAUCAACUGAAAUUCAUGUACUAGAGGGAAUAAGAAAACACAGAUUAAAAUUAGUACCUCCAAUUGUCUUUUCUUUUUGGCAUCCUUAUUUGGGGAUGGCAUAAGACGAUUACUGAAAGCUGAAGGCACAGACUCAAAUCUGGACCGCAACAUCCCAAGGGUCCGUAUCUGAGAGACAACAAAUGGAAUAAAGGGAUCAUUGGGAAGAAACAAGAGCCCAUCUGAGACAGAAAUACUUAUAAAAGACAAUAUUCAAAAAGAAAAAUAGACAAAUGUAAAAGCGUGAACAGAUUUGACACUGACCUCACCCAAAUGGCUGAAGGCUCCAUGAAUCCCACCAAACAGAGUAGAAAAUAUUGCAUACCAUAUUUGUGCAUCCAUAAAAUAAACCUAUGUACCAAUAAUCAUUAAAAAGUGGUAACUGACAUAACAGUGUAUAAGAACUGCAAAUUAUGACAGUUUUCAAUCAUAGAAUUCUUCAGCGGUUCACUUACCAGGACAAUUGGAGCCCAUAUUGCAAUAACAACGCCCAUAUUAUGAGUUACUACAUCAGUUCCAAACGUGAAUUUGUAGUAAGAACAGGCUACAGUUGCAAAAAAUUUAAGUGAAAACAGUAAAACAAAGUUUGAAAUAUUACCAUUUGGAAAGAACUCAUGCCAUUGAUAAUUACUAAUAGGCAUCUUCAUUAUCACUUUUGUUGGUCCAACAAGCGGCAGUAUCUAUGACCAGAGUAUACAAAUAAAGCUUAGUAAAAUUAUCUAAAUCCAAUGGAUCCUCAAAGGAAAAACCUAACUUCUUUUCAGUUACAAUGAAUGACCUAGCUUUGUAGUAACAUUAGUUCCAUUAUCAAAUUUUUUUACCGGGUAAAGUUUCCUAAUUAGGAAAAAGAAUACUGUUGCUCAGCUCUAGGUGGAAUAACAUUAGGAGACAAUGUUCAGGCUAGUGGAGUUGAGGACUUCUGCUGGCUAGGAGUAGAACUCAUGUUAUGUUCUUUACAUAUGUUGUUUAAGGUUUUCCACAAUAAUCUUUUCCACUGCCCAAUGAGAACGAAGUCAGGUAAUUCAAAAUUUCAUUAUUUCUCCGCUCACAAUGAAUCUAUUACUUUCCUUCUUUUUCUCAUAACUUCUGAGGUUAUAGAUAUGUGGUAAUCUUCAAAUAUGACUUAUAAGCUACUGAUGUGGAGAGAUAUUAAAAAAAUAAUGUGAUGUUGUCAUGAUAACGCUACAGAUGUGAUUUGUGGUUCAAGGAUUAUCCUGUGUGUGUUUUUUUGUACAAUCUUCGUGUGCAGAUCAAGGAUUUCAUGUCCAUGUUACCCAAUAUUUACAGAGUGGAUCUUGGCAACUUAUUUGUUGCAACUUAAGAUGGCAUGCAUCCUAAAAUUCUUAAUUCUUCAGUUGCAAUUUCAUGAACUAAACUGAGUUUAUGCACACAAAACACAGAUUGUACUAGUGUGGGUUUGGUGUGUUUUGGGGAAGAGAGGGGGGGGGGGGGGGGGGGGGCGGCGAGGCGGUGGUUGCAUGUUUGGGUGUGUUAAGAACCUACAUGCAUAUGCCAAUGUCUUACUACGCAAGUAUGUGACAUGAAUAAGCAACAGAAAAUAAAAUAGGGAUUUUCAGAUCAGAUAAAAAAAAUUAUUGAAGAGAAACCACCUCCACAAAAUAGCUGAACGAUAGCUUGCUGAUUAGCAGCAUGAUCCAAAACAAAGUAUAUCUGAAUAUAAAGAUAAUUUUAUUAAAAUCAAAGCAAAGCACCAGAAAUCAAAUAGAAUGACCAAUGAGUAGAAAGACAAGCAGCGAAAUGGCUAAACCCACACACGUUCAACACCCCACUCUCAAAAGAUGAAGAAAGAUAAUAAAUAAAUUGAGACACGUUUUACUUACUUCAGCAGUGAAAAGACGUCCUCAUGCAGGCCUCUUCCUAUAUACAGUUUUGGCUGUAGUAUGGACAGCCACAGAAAAAUCAUUCAAAUUAACCAUAACUAGAACACAGAAUAAAGCGAAAAUAAAUAUUUACUACAAUCACAAGGCAACAAGAACUUUGGUUAAAACCAAAGCAAGACAUGCUUGCCUGAGCCCACCACAUAAAAAGAGUGACAAUGCGCCAGUUUGAUCGCUCUAUGUGUCUCCGUAAAGGUGGAAGAAAAAAUAGCACAGCAGCCAAUAUAUUAGGAAGUAGAUAGAUUGCAACAGCAUAGUUAUAAAAUGACUGAUUCCGCCAAUCCCUAGCCCAACUGCUGAAGAAUUUCAGAAGUCCAGUAGGAUUCUGCACAGAACUAGAAUAACCAACAGGCAGAACCACAGCCCACACACCAGCUACUGCAAAUUUCAAGAGGUAUCGUAGUAUUUGAGUGAGCUUCAAGCUCUUCCAGGCAUUCCAACUAAGAACAAUAUCCAGAGUGGCUGAAGAACAUAAAUAGACCGUAUGAGAAAGUGAAGUACAAAAAAAGUCACUCAAUAGUUAUACAUUAUAUGGAAACAACUGCUGAGAAUUCCCACCAUGAACUAAUAUGGAAACAAACAGAAACAUUAAAGAUAUCGCUAGUACCUUGUAAUAAAUUGAGGAAAGCAUAAGUGAUGAAGAUGCUUAAAACACUUCUGAAGACAUCCGCAUCAAAGAAAGCAGUCAGAGAUCCAGAAGAACUCCAUGCAACAAUAACCAUAGCCUAAAAAUCAGAAAUAGUGAGGCACAUUCCUUAAGGAGAACUGUAAAGAAUUAAAAGGAAAGGAUUUCUCCAACCUCCCAUAAAAUUUGUCUAAAAUACACAUUUUUUUAUGGGAAAUAUAUCAACCUCACUUGUGCGCAGGAGUUGCAAUUUUUAUGCAUAUGGAAGAGCUCCCCAAAAGGGUAAGUCUCAUGAUAACAGAGAAUCCCUCAACACAAGCAGACAGAAAUUUCAAGAAAAUUCCAUAAAUACCCUCAGCAGUAAAGAUGACCAUAGUUUUUUCAUAACCAACAAGAGACAAGGUUACUUGUAAGAUCAUAUUAAAUUUCUAAAAGCGAACCAAAAAUUUGAUUCUUACCAUUGUUGACAGAAACUUCUAGCAUGGGAGUUUAGUGUAAAUUCAUGAUUGUGUAAUUGAAAACUCUAAGGGAGGUUGGCGUUAUUUACUCAAAUUACCAACACAUUAUCCAACAUUUAAGGCUACCUGGAAAGCCAAUAUGAAGAAUAUCCACAUUCGAUCAAAACUUCGGUACAGGUGCAAAAAUGUUCGGACUUCCACAAAGUUUGUUUUAGGUUUCCUCCUCCCACCAGCAGCUUGAUUUGUCCUCUGUCAAACAUGUAUUCAGAUUAACAGAACUUUAUCUAAAAGAAACCUAUACAUAUGUAGGCACAAAACAAAUUAUGUUUAUAUGUAAACUAUGGACAUGCAUGCGGGCACACAUACAAAUGCAGAAAUGUCCAAUUCAUAAGAAAAGAAUGAUAUUUUAGUAAAUUGUGUUUGGCAAUAAAAUUUCCGUUUCUUCUCGAGAAAAAACAGAAAUAAAAUGUAAUAAAAUUGUUCCCCAAUAUGUCCAAGUUUUUAGUUGACCCUCCCCCACCCAAAUAAAUAAACAGAUAAAACCAAGACAGAUAAUUACCUCAUUUGCUGGUGGAAUCCCAUCUGAAUGCCUAAAGAAAUCUGCUUUAGGGUCCAUUGGCCACCCUAGCCUAAAACAUUUGUCAGACCUAGAAAGAACGAGCAGACCUUUCAGCCAUUUUAUAUCUGAAUGGAUCGAAAACAAAAAUUACCAUCAAAGAUACUAACCAAAAAUAUUCAUUUAGAUCAUCAUAAUUUCUCCAUCUUGAAUGACUUGCCUUGCCAUUUUUGUUUCUCUUUGCUUCCUUUGCAACAAAAGGAAGAUUCAAAUUUUGAAUUAAAAAGUAGUAAUAAAGAUGCUUCGUGUCAAUAAUACAUGCAGUAGAAGACCAUCUUUACCUUGUACAACACCUGGUAGAUAGGAGUUACAACAUCCCUCAGAAAAGAUUCUUCGUCACGUGCUGUUGUUUGGUAUGUUUCUCCACUAACCGGAUGAACAUUGCUAUAUAAAAUUCCAUAUACCUCGUUGGCCAUCUUAACAAUUAGUGAAGAAAAAUUAUUGUCAUACCUUAAAAAUUUCAGGACAUAUAAAAGUCCUUGAGACAAGUUGUGUAUUAAGAACAAGCAUGACUCAUAAACAAUUUUAUGAUAUAAUAUUUAUGUUGCAGACAAGAAAUCUGUAGAAUUACAGUCCCGUUCUCCUGGUCCACGGGACCAGGGACUUUCUUGGUCACUUAUUGUUGGAUUAAAAUCAACAGUGGAGAGUAGUCUAAACAAUUAAUUGAAUUUUUAAUUUUUAAUGCAAUUGUUUUUUAUAAUGCAAUUUUUAGUUACCAAGUAGCUAUUUCUUUCACAACAGAACAAAAGAAAAAGUAAAUACACAAGGGAAAAUUAGAACAUGCAACAUAGAUUCUUCCAAAGAAAAAUUUAUGAGAUUGACAGAAAUGAGGAAUUGAGUGACUAAAAACAACUUUGGAUUAUAUUCACAAUAAUUCAUUUGGGGCUCCUUUUCUGGUAUAACCUCAUCUAGUGGGGCUUCGAUUUUGAAGAGUGAUCACUGACAGUUAGGAUUUUGUUCUGUUAGAUCAGCAGGAGCUGUAGUAAUUAGUAAUUUAUAUAAUUGUCAUGCAAACCGAAUAAAUUUGGUGACUUGUAUAUGCACCUCUGUACUCCCUCUCUCUAAGAAUAAAAUGUUAUUCUAUCAAACCUAAGAACCAAAAAGCAUAUAGCUAGUAUUCUUUUUAAGAGAAACGCUACAAGUUUAUUGAUAUGAAGUUACAUAGAAAUCUUACUGAUAAUAUAAAUCAAUGUGGUCAUUGAGUUGGCAGUUUUCAUGUUGUCAUGACUCGUGACAAGUAAUUGUAUGGAAGAACAACUUUUAAUUAGUGACUGCUGUACCAGUUCCUAGAAAUUUAAUGUUUUAAUAGAUGGUUAGGAAUUGAUUUAAAAAUCAGGUUACCUGUCAGAAGGCUUACCCCAUUAAAAAAAAAGCUAUGAUAAGAAGAAACCAAGAAAAUCAUAGUAACUACUCAAGAGACUUGGCCAUUCUCAGAAGGAUUAUCAUUGAGAUGGGCCAUGGUAAGUCAGAAAAGGAACAACAUUAUGAUAUGAAACUCUCUAGACCAUUCAUAAUGCUUGACUAAUACUAUUAAAAAACAAAGAAAAAGAAAGAAAGCAUACGGACCUGAUGGAAAAUGUAGCAUAAGCAUUCAGGCAUGAAUCGAAUAUUUGAAGCUUCACCCCAUAUGAGAAGAUAGAGUCCAAUGUAAAUAAGCUCCAACUGUUGUCUGUCAGAACCUUGAGGAAACCUGAAAAGUUGUGGGGUUGGGAGGUUGGAGAGACACCAAAUCAAAAUUUGUAUUGCUGAAAUGGUAACAAGUCUAUAUGUAUUCGACUUUAAGGAAUCAAGUUAUAACUUUGAUAUUGUCCAGAUCACUCACUUGAGAUUUGAUUUGCAAUGCAAAUAGUUAAACCAUGAACGAUAGUUCUUAAAAAUUUUCUCCAUCAAAUGCUGUACAGUGCCACUAUUCAACUGCAAUAAGCUUUCUGUUAAUCUUUAAUGAUCACAUCAGAUAUAGUCUUGAAAAUUGAGAGCAACAAAAUUCAAAGCAAAGGAGAAAACACAAAGCACCUCAAAGGAACAUCGAUUUACCUGUGUGUAAUUUUCAAGAUUCCUAUGUCUUACAUCCAUGUUGGCAAGUAGCAAGAUUAAGUGUUCCCUCUGAUUUGCAACAUUUCCUUUCUUCAAACCCCAGAAAAGAUAAGACAACAUAGUAAGAAUCAUUGCAUCUAGCAGUAGUCUAUUGCAAUAUAUAUAUGUGUGUGUGUGUGUGUGUGUGUAUCUAGCAGUAGUCUAUUGCAUCAAAGAAUCAUUGAGCAUGCGAGGUGCAAGAACAAGAUUCGCAUCACUUCAAAGAAUGAUAUCUACUUAAUGAAGAUUGAGAGGACAGCCAAAAUGCACAUUUCCCACUGCUCCAAAUCCUCCCUUAUAAAAUUUGUCUUGGUUCCCAAUGGAUAUAAGUAAAAUAGCAGACUAUUGUAAUCAACUUGAGGCAGGGAUGCCAAGACCACAUGGAGUUAAUGCCCGCAGUUAUUAGGCAGUGAGGUAGGAAUAGGACAAGAGUCUUCAUAUGAAACAAAACACCAAUAUCAAAUCCAUCACAUAACAUUUAAAAGUAGCACCUUGAUGCUGCAAUUAUUGUCUUUUAAAUUCAAUAAGUUGUAGAUUCAAAUGGAAACAUGCCUAUUCAAGUCAUUCCUAUCUUGACCAAGUAGAAAGGCAACAGAAAACUCAAGGGAAAUGGCAAAGGAUAAAGAAAUAAGGGCUAGCUAUUUUUUUUCUUCAAUGUCCAUUAUUGUCUUUUUCAAUUACCUUGCCAUUCUUUUCAUUAGAUGGCAUUAGAUUAUUCAUAAUUAUUGACCUACAUUAAUUGCCACAUCCGAGUCAAAUUAAGCUCCACCCCUAGUUGUGGGCCAGUGGUAAGAGUAGCCAGUUUACUAGCUGAGAUCCACAAAUCAAGAAAAAUCCUUUUAGAAACUUAAACGUGCCUAUACAGUUGGACAGGUUUAGGGUUAGCACACCAAUACAAGUUUCAGACAUGCGGCUUAUAAAAACCAAGGAAAAAUGAAAGAGAAAGGUAUUUAGGCACAAGUUACCUGAAACCCAAAAAUAGAGGAAAGCCAAUCGAGUAUAUCGUUGACAGGUUUAAUCCUCUCGGUAGGAAUUGUUGACUUGUCAUCAGGAUUCAUGGGUUUUAAAUGCAUUAUUGGCAUUGGAAGACCAUUCACAUUUUGUAGAGCAUGAAGUGCUGCUUUGAUCUAAAUAUUUCCAGAAAAAAUAAAAGGGUAAAGCAAUGAGCAAGAGAGAAAAAUAAGAUUUCAUAAAACUAAAGCAGAGAUAAAUGAAAAUCACAUAUCCUACGCAUGUACAACCUCAGGCAGUUCCAUAAUUGCUGGUUUAACACCAACAGUAUAUAACGGAAGAAUGUUAUAGUUUACAUACUGCUCCCUUUUCCUCUUGACAUCUUCAGCAAUUUUCUGUGUCUGCAAUGAAAAAAAUAAUAGAAUAGCCAUGUUUUCAGUGCCUUCUCUAUCAAUCUGUCACUUAAGAACUUGAGCAAUCCUGGAAUCAUACAAAUCAAACCUGUUGAUCAAUUUGAGGUUGAGGUACCACUGUCUUGAGCACGUCAUAUAGUACAGUUGCAAUCUGAAUAAUCCUAGCCAUCUCUUCCCUUCAAUAUAUAAGAGACAAUGAGUAAUUCAAUAGUAAAAGAAAGGUAGCAUACCAACAAUUCAAAAACAAGACUUACGGUUUUUUUGUGUAUUCUCCUUCUAGGAUAUUGUUCCGAUAAAAUUGGUGGUAAAAAUACAGGAUUUCUUUUGUAUCAGAUUUAGCAAGCUGAUGUCUUGUCUCUUCUUCUUCCUGCAACAAAAAGAAUUUUAAGAGAUACAGAGAAACUUCAGUUCACUUUCAGGAGCUCUUAAAUACAAUAUAAAUCAGUCAUGAUAUUGAAUUAGUAUUACCCUAGAAUAUUAUUUAUAGGUCUAGAGAUUAUCUUUCGAUUCAGUCUAUGACUUGAUUUGCACAUUUCAUUCUAAAGUUAAAUGUUACCAUUUGAAAAAAAAAAAACUAAUUGUAUAAAUUGUUAGCUUGAUAAGCAUUGUUGGCUUAUUUCCUAACAACUUAAAUUCUUGGGGUCCAAUUGUUGUCUAUAAUGGUAUCAGAGCUGUAAUUGCAGGAGGUAUUGAGUUCAAAACUUCUUAUCAUGGAAGGAAAAGGAUAAAAGAAGGAGAUGAGGGGAAGAAAUAAAAUAAUUUACAGAUAAAAUCACAAGUGAACUAAUCAUACACACAGCACAAGAAAUAUAAAUUAAGUUCCAAAAUCAGACCACUCUUCUGGAAAAAGGAAAUAAAAUACAAGAAAGCACAAAUAAUUUAAAAGUCCACCUUUUCAAGUCUGUGCAAAAGAUGUGUCUUAAACUGACGAACACCACGUCCACUUGAUGUUGGAUCCAUUGUGUGCGCCUUCUCAAAUCCAUGGAAGCGGCCUGAUUGCACAAAAUAUAUCAACCUAAGCGACGAUAACAUUUACUGAACUAAACAGGAACACGUGAUGCAAAGAACUGUUAGAUUCUAUCCGUAUAGGAAAUAGAGAUUAGGUGAAAAUCUUCUUAAUGAGAAAUAAAAGUCUUGUUACGAUUCUGUCAAAUUUUCUGUCUUAUUUGUUCUAUGUAUAACAUUUAUCAACCGCAUUUUCCACCCCCUUCCCCUUUAUAUUAAACAUAUGAAACUAAGCCGGGAUCACUACCAUUCUUUUAAUUUGAAAAUAAUGAACGCUGAAUUUUACAACUUGACAUUAUGCAUAAAAAACUGAACUUAUAAAAUUCAUACAAAAGAAUUUAACUUUCUUUUUGUAAUUAGGUUCAAACAGUAUUUUAGUUGAGCCGGCCACCACCUAUAUUCAACAUAAUCAGAAUCACAAACACCAUGUAUUACUAUUCUAACAACAUCAAGCAAUGUGCUUUAAUAAUAAUGAAUUGCAAAAUAAUACAACAAAAUCACAUACAGAGGUAGGCAACCCUAGGGUUUUCCUUCUCAAUCUCAUUGGCGACACGAAAAAUGGGAGCAAUUGAGGCAAGGCACGAGGGCACAUCCAACGCCUCGUCCUCAGUCGGCAAGUCCAAAAGCCUCGUGGGCAUUCUCGUCAUUCGCCUCGAUAACGACCUCUGCGGGUCCUGAUUGUUCUUCGUCCCGCUGGAGCUCGCCAUUUCCGAAAAGCACCACCAAUACUCAGCCUCUCAGUUUCAGGUCUCACUGAUUUCGAUGUAGCUUGUUUGCAAAUGAAAGAGAUCAUCUUUUUAGGUAUUUGUACAGAGAUAGAAAGAGAGAGUAUAGAUACUUUGGGAGAGAUGUGGGGCAAGGGCAAGGCAAAGCAAAGUGGGUUUGCUCUCAAAGCAAGAAAGGAAUUGGUGAUGGAGUUUUGUUUUGUAUGGUUUCAGACUCUUUUUGAGUGCUUUUGCUUUUCCAUUUGAUAAAUUUUGAUAAACAAAUCUCAAUCACCAGCGCAGAAGCGCUUUUUCUGUGUAGGUUUCCUUUUGGCUUCUUUAUUUUUAAAAUCAGCGGGAGCUUGCUUCCUACUGGAACUUAACAACAGGGCGCGAACUGUGACAGCGCAAGCAAAGAAGAAAGAAGGUGGGCUCCCAUGAGCUGAGGGUGACACGUGGAAUAAUAUUUUUUUUGAACGCUGUACGGAGUGGAGGAAUUCUAGCACGUGGCUAUACCAAACAAGAAUUUCUCAACCUGAACAAGACCAUAAAAAUUAUAAACAUGGCUUUUUCACUUCACUUACUUCUGUUCAUGGAACGUUAUUUGACGGGUUGAUUAUUGAUUUAUAAAUGCUUUUUGGUUUCUCUUCUUCUAAGCAAUUCCUCCUCGGAAUAUGGGUUGAACCUUGGAACAGAUCCGUAGGAUGAGCUUUACCAUUCAAGAUCAAGAGUCCUCUACAAGAAUCGAACUUUGUAAUCUUUUUCAGAUGGGUUUCCCACCAAAAGUUGAUAUGCCAAACUAAAGCAACGUUAAAUCACAAAAGUUACUAUUUUCACAGCUACCCAUCAUAGAUUCUCAAGUUUCUUGUUCUUCAGUUAAUAACCUAAUAAUAUACCAGAUUUGCUAAUAAAUACAAAUCAUGCGAUUAAUUCGUUCUGCUUCCUUCACCAAUUCCCUGGCUGAAUUCAGGAUUUUUGAAACUGUGCAACUAAAAGAAUGAUAUGUACAUCAGUAAAUAGUUAAAAUAUUUAAUGAAUCAAAUCAUGAUCCAAAGUAAGGCAUGCACCCGGAAGAGAGAUAAUUAUCUGUUUGCAUUGCAACACCCUCUGUAUUUUUAUAUAAUUUUUUCUCCUGGUUUCUGUACCAAUAAUCUAUAAUAUUUUCGCCGUCAAAAAGACCCUAAACCCUAACAUCGUCAAAAACACCCAGUUGAGAGGCAUCUACAUGUAAAAGGGUGUAUACAGUAAGAAUCCAUGGGCAAAAGUGGAUCGGCUAGCAGCAUUUCUGGUGGUGAGGGUAGCAGCACUUCUGAAAUGUAACUAUGUACAUGAACCAAAUGCAAAAAGCGGCAGCAUCCACAUCCAUGCAUCAGCAGUACAUGCUUGUAUAGUUGAGAGGCAUCCACAUCCUCCAUCUUCAUUUGAAUUUCACUGCGAUGCAUAAGUAUCAAAUCAUAUGCAUACGUGAGUCUGCAUUUCCAACGUCUCUUCUCCCAAGACCAAAAGAAGUUUUAACUUCAUAAGUUUUUCUUAUAUGGGACUUGCUCGUGAUGCCUGCAAUACAAUUAAAAAGCCAUCUGAUGUCUCCUCUUGAAAUGAACAUAGUUUAUAGCAAAAAGAGAAAGUGAAAAAACACAAUUAUGGAAUUUGUCAUUUCAGAAGUAUGAAAUAGUGUAGCAAAGGACCUGAUUAUUUGAACUUGUUACUGUAGCCCAACGACGUGGACGCUGUGUGCCCACUGCAGCAUAGCUGACAAAAGUAAUUGUUCUUGAUUGUUCCCUUUGGUGAUUAGCGAUUGGGGGUGGCAAUUCUCUUACAAUCCAUAAUACAGAAGUUGAGGGCACCAAAGAUCCUGACAUAAAAUAUAAAGGGUGCAAGAAAACUCAUGAUAUUCAAUAUGUGACGAACAAAAUGCAGUAUCCUUCCCAUUCAUGAUGGGGAAAAUUGAAAACAAUGCUCAGAAGGGAAGAUAGAAUUACCCAUAAAAUAGUACAGAAUCAGAAAAACUAGCGCUUUUCCGCCAUAUGUUUUUUUCAGACUCCACUGACAAUAUAGCUGGCAAAGAGCUUAAAGUGAGGUAAGCAAGAAAAUAAAUAAGGAAAACUAAGAAAUGAAUUGCACAAAGAGUAGUAAAGUCUCUAGCCAAUGACCGCUUACAGGAAUAUUUGUAAGAAGAGCUACCAAUGCACUUGACGUAAAACAUAUAACAGAAGUAAUUGCCAAACCAGCAACCUGUUUACAAAAUUCCAAACUUACUAAAUACAAACAGAAGUGUGCCAGUUUAGGCAGAAAUUAUAACAUAACAUUUUAAGUAAAGAAGUAGGUAUGUUGCGUUCAAAGAAGAAAUUAGUAAGUGCACUUUGAAGAAUUUGAAUAAUAUUUUUAUCAAAUAGAAGAGAUCAUUUCUGUCAGUUUAAUAAUACCUUCCACAUUUCGGAUGAAGCUUUCUCAGACCGUACUUUCCUUAACUUACAAAAUAGCAGGAUGCCUGGAAUUUUAGAAAGAAAGAGUGAAGUUAAAUUGCAGACAGCACAUGAAAGAAUUCAGUUAAACUUUAUAAAGCCAAUAUCACUUUUCUGACAACAAAACCCAGUUAACCUUGCAACAUCCAAUAUACCAAAACAUAUGAAGAGUUUUUGGAACAAACAAGUCAAUCUUAAAAUCCUUAAACAUAAAACUUGGAUAACAGGUUGAGUCUUACCCCUAACACCAUUCCACCAUAAUGUCAGUAAGUGUUACCCUACAAAAAUGGUUACAGGGUAAUAGUAGCGAAACUAGAGGAAGAAGCUUAAGCCUAUGCACUACCAAACAAUGGAAAUGAUAAUUCGAUAGUAUAAGAUAUGCCAAAACCACUUACUGGUCUUGAACAGAACAACAUAAGAAUAAUAAAUAAACAAAAAACACAGACCUUUAGUAAUAAAAAUAAAUAAAGGGGGAAGAAAGUACAAUUAAAAUGGAUGAAGAGUAAUCAUAUCUAACUGAAGACCCUCAAGCUAAAGCACAUAUUACAAUCAAUACAACACUGCCCUAAAUCAAGAAGAACGACUCUAAAAACAUAAAAAUGUUUUACUACGAAGCCAACGAGAAUUUAAAACUUUAAUCAUCAUAUCCACAACAAAGAAACUAGAUUGACAAAACCCAAAUGAAACUGGUAAUAAGAAGAUAAAUGUGGCAUGACCUCCCAAAGUAAAUAAAUGCAUAAUAAGAAGUUGUCAGUGCUCUCACCAUAGCAACCUAAUGCUCCUCCUAAUAAAAGAACCGUGAAAGCAAGAAAGUCUUCAUAUGCCUGUAAGAUGGUUGCAGUUAUUGGGCGAUGAUAAUUGCCACAUUUAAACGAAUAGAUACAUAAAGACACAUCAUUAAGUGAACAAUAAGAAAAUAUGAUAUGAUGCAAACAAAAUGUUCCAAAAUUUAAAAAGGAAAACUAAUGAUUGGAAUUUCAGGAAGUUUAAGCAUACACAAAGUGCUGGUGUCUCACACAUGUACUAGAUGUCUAGAACAAUCAAGAUAAGACUAAUCUUCUAUAGAUAAAUAAGGGGAUGGAAAAACACUUAUCUCAACUAACGUUUAUCUACACAUGUUAGUAACAAAUCAAGUAGAUGAGACCAGCAAUUUCCUCAAAAAACACUGAUAUUGACCUAGACCUUAAUAACCAAUCAAUCUCCAUAAGGAAAUAAAAAUGCCAGCUGCAGUUCCAAAUUCUCCUGUAUGAAUUAUCAAAAUGCCAGAUAUGGACUGAACUGUGUUUUCUUCUAAUUCUUUAAAACCUAAUUUCCCGGUAGAUGUCAUGCCUGGUAUAAGUUACCAUGUUGCAAAAUUUUCCAAAAGACUGUUAAGACAAAAGUUCAUCUGAUGCUAAAAAGGAUAGAGUAGGAAAGAUUGUACUCCAUACCUGAGCCACUGCUGAAGAAUCAAUGGGAUUCUUACCCACACCGAUCCAGAUUACCACAGCAAAUGACAUCAUCAGAACAAGGACAAGCACAACAACCUAGUGGGAGAAACGGAUGAAAUUAGAUGACAAGAAGAACGAGUGAUAACAAUGUUUCAGUGAAAGUUACGCAACUUUUAUAUGACAAAUUAAGGGCAAUAACAAAACAAGUCUAUUUCUCAUACCGCAAUCACAAAUUUUUGGUGACUUCCAACAUGAAUGCUUUGGAAUGAACAACAAAUCCGAUGACCAUCUUUGUUUGAUGAAUUAGGUUUAUUCUUUGAAUUUUCUAACAAGGCCUGCUGCAUGCUAUCGUCCUCGUCAUCCUCCUCGUCAUCAUUUGCCUGAUGGCAAAGGUCGACCCUACAAAGUCAUUGUCCAUAACAGCAUUUGUAUACCUUAUAAUUAUAAAUUACACUGCAACUGUACAAAUUUCUAUUGUGCAGUCUUUAGAUAUUGUAAUUGAACAUAUAAAAAAGAAAUCAUGACGCUAUUUUCUAUCUAUUUUGCAACAUGCUUCAAAGUGAAAUUGGUAUUUGAGUAAUUGACUAACAGAAAGAAAAAAAACUUUUAUUUUCUUUUUGUGUAAUGUUAAAUACAAACAAUUAUAAGUAUUAAUGUCAAGGAAUUGUCACGAUCGCAAGUACAAAUAUACAAAACUGACAUUGGGUGUAGAUGAAAAAUGAAUUGUAUAAAAAAAAAAAACCUAGAAAUUUCAAAAGGAAAUCUAGCAAAUGCCAAGUAAACAUUAAUCAUGAAAUAAAGCUAAAAAGAAAAAAAUCAAAAGCAUUUGAGAAAGAUGGAAUUGCAUUAUCAGAAGAUGGGGAGGACAAAGUUCUUCAAAUAUCCUAUUGGACACAGCAAACAUAACCUUAACAAGAUGCUUUCAACAGUUCAAAGGGUGAAAAGACAUUGAUCUAGGUAAGAGAAGUUGCUGUCAUGCUUUUCAAUCAACCAGACCAUCUCUAAAAUUUCAACAUGAGAAAGCCUAAUCUAAAAUAAGAAAACUUACCAAAAGGAUAGGAGUAGAAGAAAAGCUGCGAGAAACAGAAUUUUGGGGUAGGCUGUAGCAAUAUUUUUCAUCAAUAAGAUCACCAGUGACUACAAAGAAACUCUAGAAACAAACAUUUGAAGCAGCUCGUCAAUCAGCAUAACUAUGUAAAAUAUACCCAUUAGGAUGAACCCGCAGACAUUAGACCAGCAAAACCACUUCUUACAAGCUGCAACCAACGUAGAUGUAAAAUAUAUGAAGUAACCUGCCAAAAGAAGAAAUUUGAUGCUAUAACUUGAUGAAGUACAUAAUAUGACCAAACAAUCUUUUUUGAGCUUUUAUAAUUGCUUAAGAGUGUCUGAGAAUUGGUAGAGUGGAAAGAGGAAAAGAUAGAAACUGUUUUGAUGAGUUGAAGUGUUCAAACAGAAAAUCAAUGUAAACCUGCAGAAGACUUAGAAAAUUUUAUCAAAGAAUAUGAUGAGAAUGAAAGACGUAAGUAGUCAAUGCUCAUGCACUAUUGUGUACAUCAAGUUAUACCAUAAAGGACGUGUUUCCUUUUUAUCAAUGUAAAUACACGGAAGAACUGAUCUGAUACAAUUGGAACCCUUGUACACGCACUCUCUCAAUACCCCAACUUUGCAUUCUGGCUGAUGAGCAGAUAUGAGUGAUUUAAAUUCACAUUAUGGUUAGUAAUGCUUAUUAUUGUACCCGUUCAGUCGCACGAUUAAACCAAUCAUUUACGCUAAGCCAACCUGAAAUUGUAUGUAGCAUAUGACCACACGGAAAACUGACGACAGUGACUUAAUUCAAAAGGCUUCCAUAGUAUGGCAUAAAAAGUCUUGUAGCCUUUGCAAUAGAGAAGUACUUUAAAAUUCCACUACCCAGUUUAACUCAAAUUUGAGUCAGAACCAUUAUUUGACUUUUAUAAAAGAAAAUUGAUGACAUGAACCACAAAUCCUCAGCCUUACCCAAGUUAGAAGAGCCAAUCAUGAGGUGGAGUACCUGCCAAUUAGUAAUCAUUUCAGUCAAACGGUCCCUAUAAAUAGUGAAUGUACAUACAACUGAAAUGAAUAUUAUAGAACUUUUAAGAAUUACAAACCAUUUUUCACAUUCAACAAAUGUAGACAGAGCCUAAGCAUAUUGCAAUACAAAUUGUAAGACUGAUGGAAUCAGCACAAAGUGGGGGGUGGGGGAGGAUUCCAUAGAAUUUGCACAUAAUAUAUGACGUGAAGUUGCAAAAACCAAUUUUCAAAACAGCAUCCUUGCAUAUAAGUGCUCAUAGCAUUCCUACCAAGUACAGUAGGAAGUACAAACAUCAGACAAGAACACGCUAGCUCUGCCUUCAAUUACUAAUAGAACAACUUAUGAUAUUUAAAAAAAAUAAGCUGUAGAAGUAAGAGAUGAUGCCCCUUACUUUUUGGCGUGUCCAUCCACUUUGUCGAUUGCGCAUGUGAAUCCUGACCAGCUGGAAAAACAAAAUGCUAGAUGAUUCCCAACUUAGGGAAAAGAGUAAUUAAACAAGAUAAGUACUUGUGAAAUAUUUAACCAACAAGAUAACAGUACAAACCAAAGAUACCAGUAUCUAUAGUGUAAUUACAGUAUCAAAAUUUAGGCCCUUAUACAUGCGUAAUUGGCUCUCAGAAACUAUUGGAGAAGUCGGAAUACUUGCAAAGAUAAGGGGAUAGUGAUAGUGGAAGUAAUAAGAGAUAAAUGGGGAGACAUGCAGGAUGUUUACUAGAGUUAUUUAUUUUACCCUUAUUUUAACUUAUAAUCUGAUAUAAGGGCAGCAAUGCACAAGCAUUUUCUAUCUCAAUGUAUGUGCCUAAAUUAUUAUUUCAAAGGAUCAAACUAAUUGUAGAAUUUCAAUUUUUCCUCCACUUUCUCAGCAACCAAACACAGCGUAAAACACAAAUACCCAUUCAAUCCAAAUCAAAAUUAAUGGAAUAAACAUGCAUUAUCCUUCUCACGUUUAACACAUCAGUCAAAGUUGAAAAUCCCUCAAAAUAGACCAACCCACAUAAUGAAAUUCUUAACAGAGCUGAAAAGCACAAACAAUACAGAUGACAGAGGAAAGGGUGUUCAAACAAACCUGAGAAAACGCAAUUACAGCAAGAACGCCAUUGAAGAAGGCCAAAGCUAUGUUGAAGACAAGCAAGUCCAAAGGAAAGCAAUCACUUUUUUCCACUAGGAGCUCCAAGAACAUCAUCUUCUUCUUCACCUUUCCAGAAAGCAGAGGAAAAGAGAGACCUUUUUAGCUAUUAACUCUCUCACUUUCUGUCUAUCUAAUCUUAGAAACAGAGAGCGAUUAGAAAAACCAGCUUUGUAAGUAUUUAUAUAUAUAGAAGGAUCUUUUAAGUGUACGGUGGGACGAGAACGACACAAAAAAUUUAGCUUUGCCCACCAAAAACAAAAUCAGCCUUGUGUUUCUGUUUCUGUUGCUGCUGUUGAUUUUUGGGACUCUUUCGUAGCUCAGUAAUUUUGUUUUAUUUUUUGCUCUGAAAUAAAAACCAUAAUUAUAAGAUUUAUGAGAAAUGUGGAAUUGCUAGAGAAUAUUAAACCUAUAAAGUUUUAAUAAGGUUUUAAAAUUUAAUGAAAAUAUUAAGUAUUUAAAAGUACUUUUUUAUUAAUAAAAAAAGUAUCUAAAAUAUCAGUAGACUAGUUACAAAUACUUUAGAAUAUUAAGGGAUAUUUAGUUUCAGUGUCUGCGUACGUGUAACUCGACCUUGUUGUGAUCUAAGUCCUAAUUAAUAAUUUAAAGAUAUUUAUGAUGCCUAAUUGGAAAAUUCGAAGUCUUUUCAACCAUAUUUGAGUUAAUGGGUAAUUUUUUUUUAAGCACCUAUCCUAUAAAAUGGGCAAUAACAUAUUAAAUGAAUGCUAAGACUCGAAAUUAUGACCUUUAAUGGACAAAUAAUUGUUCUAAACCACUACAUAAUAUAUCUUUGCAACGAGUAACAUUAUUUGUACCAUCUCAACAAUUUUUCGAAAGAGUUUAUAUUUCAAUAUUUUUUCCCUUUAAAGAUUUUUUUUCUUUAAUUCACAUUUUUCAAUACUAGAAAGAAAAUUAUCAGUAAAUUAAGAGCUAGUUAAUAUUCCUUAAAGAUUUAUCCAAAAGAUAAACAAAAAAAAAUCCCUCCUCUUAUGGCUCAUUGGCUCAUGCCCCAUUCCCAUGUCAUAAUAGGUGGUGUUUGACGACAAAUAAAUAUUUUUUUUAAAGUUAAAAUAAUAUAUAUAUAAAAAUUUGUUGUGUAAAUUUGGGUUUGAAUACAAUAAAAAAAAAAGGUGGAAUGUCUAUCUUCCCUUCCCCCAUCUGCCACGUCACACAAUCGGGUCAAAAACUUGCUAAAUAUCUAAGGAGGUGUGACAUUUUGUGGGACAAUUGGACGCGGCGUCCGUGUUAAAUAACCAGAUAAGAGCUCUGCACCGCCUAAGGGAUUCUGUUGUGACCCAUGGGAUUCUAUUGGGCCAAAGAGGCAAAUUCUACCCACAAGAAUUCUCAGAUGUGAUUUUGUUGGACCACAGAUAUAUAUUGUGUCCUGUUUUGUGUAUGUGACUGCUAUUGGUUCUAAAUUGCCCACACGCCAAGGUUUCUUAUCUCCCUCUUCUUCUUCUUGAUCAUUCACUGUGGAGUACCGGUAUAUGUCUAUGAAGUUGCGUGCUUUGUUGAUACGGAUCAGGUAUUGAAAUUAGAAGAUAUUGUUAUUUGUUAAAAGCGAUUUUAAACUAGAAUGACGUGGAAGAUUUCUUUCAAAACGUAGCAUUAAAAGAAUUAUGACGAUAUGAGAAGCGAGCGACAAUUAAGAGGGGUGAUUAAUUCAAGAUGAACAAUUUAUACUUAUAUAUCCUGAAAUAUAAAUGAACUAUAUAUAUUUCUAUUAGGCUAAUCAAAGUUCUUAGUAUGAUUUAGACACUUUAUCCCCAAUCUUAUCCUAAAAACUUGUUCAAGAUGUUGCCAAGCACUACAGAUUGUCUCCACAAUCAAUAUGAUAUGAUCGAAACAAGACAUAUUUGAUGUCCUUUUACAUAAAUGGUCAACCCAUGCAAUAAUCAUGGUGGCAUACAAGUUAUAGAAAAUUAUGUGUAAAAUCUCCGUCUUUUGUUAAAUGAUGAAUUUUGUGUGUUUGUGUGUUAAUAAUGUAUCGGCACGUUUUGUUUGUGAUAGAUUAUCGACAAUAAUAUCGACCCCUUACCGAUAAAAUCCAAUAAGAUCUAGUCAAUUUGAUUUGGUUAAUUGACAAACCAAGAAGGAACUGCAUAAAUUUGGCUUCUUGGAGAUACUUCUAGGUAAACAAUGUUGCCAUAUUAAUUCUAUAUACGUAUUCUAUUGAGAAUCUCAUGUAAUAAUGAAGAGGAAUGCUAGUGUGCUAGCUUCAUACAAAAAGAAAAAUCAGAUCUAAUAAAAUCAUAUUCACCCUUCCAAAUUCCAAUAAUGCCCUGCUGCCCAGAUAGAUGAAUUUCAUCAUCUUAAUUCUUCUUCUGGAGAAUCAGUAAGUAGCCAGUGCUUCUCAGAAAAGCAACCUUGAAAUAACGUCGUAAGCAAAAGGGGUAAAAGUCCUAGAGAAAAGAAAGAGAAAAACACUUGCAAUUGGAUGAUGAGAGAAACUGAGAAACAGGGUCUUCAAAUUAACUCUGUGUUUCAGCAGCUGAGUUUGCCUUAAAUGAAGCUUUAGUGGCUUUUAAAAAAAAAAUUAUAUGUAAAUGGAAUAAGAGCUUGCAACUUCUGAUUUUGCCAAAUUAACUUCAACUUCCGCAAGUUUUUAAAUCUGAAAAUUGCUUGGAAUUGAGAAGUAAAUUGUGUCUAUUUUCUUCAGAAAAUGAUGAUAUAUAUGAAAAUAAUAAGAAAAUUAACUUUGUGUAUACGAUUAAAAUAUUUUUUUUUCUUCAUAUAAUAGAGGUUGAAACUCAGUAAACUCAGAGUAAUAAAGUGAAAAUUUCCAAAAUAAUUAUUAUUAUUAUGUGAAAAAAAAACACAGACGCAUAAGUGGCCAACCCAAUCAUGAGGCUGUCUCCUCCAAGAUACUAUUCUUUUUAGACUAUCUGGACAUUGACCGUCCUACACAAAGUGCUCAUUGGAUGGACGUUGCUCCACACCCCCACGCUGGAAAUAAUCUAAAGCUUCCUCAGAGUUCUCUGUCACUCUAUAUUUAUAUUAAACAGUAUCUAUAAAAUCAAAGAUAUUGGAUGUAUCAUGCAUGUGUCUGUCUCUGAUUUUCAUCAUCUUUAAGUUAAGAAUCUAAAUCAAGCUCAAAAUCAUAUAUUAUAAGGAAAAUAUUAUUAUUUUUUUAAAAACCCCUAAGUUCUAAAGGGAAAGAUGUCAAUAAUUUCAAUUUGUUAAAUUCCAAAAAGUUUUGAGUAAAGUGUUUGUAUAUGCAUGCCUUGUGUUUCAAAGAUUUCCUUGUCACGCUUGCUUACUUUUAUGAAGAAGAACUCAUAUCUUCCGGUUUCAUACACAACUUGUAUAAAACCGGCAUGAGCUAAAAAGUUCAAAAUUAAAGAAGAAAAUGAAAGCAUUGUUUAACGUUGAAAAGCCAACAAGCCGUGCAUGUGUGCAUGAUGAACUGGACCCUGCGGUAGGAUCCAAUAAUAUUGGUUUGAACUGUUCCAACAAACUAGCCGUUAAAUAUAAGCUUGACCAACCGGACCACAUCUGCCUACACCAUACCAAACCGUUAUUAGAAGAUGAAUGAAACUGCCAAAUGUCGAAUUUGUCCUUUCCAGCGCAUUUUUUAUGUGCCGUUACAGAAAGAGAGAAAUGAUGAGAAGACUCCGUUAAGAAGAUGCCAAUCAAAAGCAGUGCAAACCAAGCAAGCAUAUAAUCCUGUAUGAUUAUGAAUGGCAACAGAUUGUGAUCCUUAUUUAUUACUAAGGAUCAAGCUUUUUGGAAAAGUGAUUCUUGAAUGAUAACUUAAAAAAUAAAUAGUUCGGUCAGAUUAUGAGAUUAUAUUGUGCAAUAAGUUCAAACAAAUAAUUAGUGACAUAUAAACUUACUAACCAGUUAGCGCUUGAGAAUACGUCAGCCUCCAUAGCCAAAUCUACAAUAUGACCUUUAGAAGCGAACCCAAUCGCCAUGAUAUAUAUUUGCAUUGCACGACGUCUUCGUUGGUGUUAAAAACUAGUCCAUAAACAGUGUAUCGGUUAACAUUUUCCUACUAGAAUUAUUAUAAUAAUGAUACUGUCUUGCUGUAAACUAGUCUUUUUAAAACUAGAAUAUUCGGCUACUAAGCUUUAGGGUGCUUUACCAAUUAUUAAGUUCCACAAAUACCCUCCCAUGAGACCUCAAAUUCCAUUGAUCGCUCUGGCCAGCAGGCCCAGCACCAGCUGCAACCACCAACACCUUCUUUUCUUUUUGAAGAAACCAAAGCUCUGCCUCUAACCCCCUCUCCAUUUCUAUAUAUACCACCAGCUCACACUUCUCCCUCUCAGCAUACCAAUUGCAUAAAAUACGACAACGUUUUAGAGAGAGAGAGGGAGGGAGAGAGAGAGAUUUGUGCAUAUUGUGAUGGAAAAUAAGUCGGAAAAGAACUCAAAGAAGGAGAAGGCCGUUUGGUCGUUAAAGAAGGUGAUUAGCAAAGAGCUGUGGCCAAGGAAAUUCUCAGUGUUCAAAUGGAAGCGUCUGGAUUUUCAGACGACCAUCGUAGACGACGUCGUCUUCAAGGUUCUCUCUGCUGUGGAGGUUGUCGUUCUGGUCUCCACGCUCUGCUUCUUCUACCUUUGCUGUGGUUGCCACAUCUGACUGACGUCAUCCAUUCAUUCUAAUUAGUAAUUAGUUUCUUAAUUUCAUCUUUUAAUUUGUAUAAUUGGGUAUUAAUUUGAUGGGUUUUUGCUUUUGUUGCCAAAAGUUGGGCAUAAAGAACGUGUAAACUAGUUAGUUUUAUUUUUGGUCCUCGAGAAUUCAUUUGUGUAGCGGUCCAUUUUCAUUUGGAAAAUAAGAUGAAGUGAUGAACUCUGUUAUGAUUCAUGGGGUGUGUGUGCAUUUAUUUUAUUUUUUCAAGCUUGCUCACUUUAUUUCAAUUUUUCCAGUUUCUACAAAGUUAUUCCAUUAUUAAAAAAAAAGGUUAAAAGAAAAUUAGAGUUGGGUGAUAUCAAUAUGAACUUUGAUUUAAAAAAAUUCUUUUUUUGCUCAAAGUAAUUACAUUAAACCUAGAUACCAAUUAGACUAUCAACCCCAAUUUGCAAAUUGGCAAAUUGGAAUGAAAUAUUGCAAAUAAUUGUGGGUGCAUUAGACAAUGUUUUUUUUUCAAUACCAAAAAAAAUUGCUUUAUAAAUGAAAAUGAGAGUGAUAAUGGGAGUGAGUAACAAAGUGAAAACAAUUGCACAUAGAUUUUAGUUUUCACAUUUGAUACUCCUUCCUCUUAUCAUUCCCUCUCAUCUUUCGACUCAAUCCCAUCUUCAUUCUCAUUCUCCCUCUUUUUCCUCUAUACUGAAAUUGAAGUAGUUAUCAAACGGGUCAUAAGUUAAGGGCUUGGGCUAAGCAUGUUUAAAGGAAAAAUAAAAAAGACUUGGGCUUGAGCUAGAUUUGGGCUAAGGAUAUUAACCCAACAGCCAACUGAAACAAUAAAAAAGAAAAAAGAAAAAAGAAAAAAUGGGAAAGCCAAGCCAACAGCCACACAGGCAAAUACGGUUGCAGCAAAGCAAAGGGGGCCGCGGGUAGUAAAAUAGCAAGAGUCUACUCAAGGAGAGAGACUCCAGAGAGUCGAAAAUGGCUUCUCCGUCUCCAAUCUCCUCAAGCGCUUCCCCACUGCAACGCCUUUCCACCUUCAAAACCUCCACCCCAACCUCCACCGCAACCCCAACCACCGCCACCGCAUCCCCCCUUGACACAUUGGCCUCCGACCCCAUCUUCUCCGUCUUCCUCUCCUCCUCCUUCUCCUCCACCGACUUCUCCUCCGCCGCCCUCACCUCCGGCUCCCCCGCCUCCACCGCUGAGAAGCUCCAGAACGCCAUCCGCCUCCUCGAGUCCCAGCUCCGCUCCGAGGUCCUCUCCCGCCACGACCACCUACUCUCCCAGCUCUCCUCCCUCCACCACGCAGACCACGCCCUCUCCACCGUCCGAUCCUCCGUCCUCUCCCUCCAGUCCUCCCUCCGCCGCACCCGAUCCGAGCUCUCCGACCCCCUUACCUCCAUCCGCACCCUCACCGUCCAGCUCCAGAACCUCCACACCUCCUCCGACCUUCUCCACCACUCCAUCAGAGCGCUUCGUCUCUCCAGUAAGCUCCGCUCUCUGGCGUCGGACGACCCCGAACGCCUGGAUCUCGCCAAGGCCGCUCAGCUACAUUGCGAGAUCUUGGCACUCUACAACGAAUAUGACCUCGCCGGCAUUGACGUAGUCGAUGCCGAGCUCGAAUGGGUCAGAGAGACCGGAGACAAGUUGCGCAAUGAGGCGAUGCGGGUUUUGGAGAGGGGGAUGGAGGGUUUGAACCAGGCCGAGGUGGGUACUGGGUUGCAGGUGUUUUACAAUUUGGGGGAGCUGAGACAGGCUAUGGAUCAGUUGAUUAACAAGUAUAAGGGUAUGGGGGUAAAGACUGUUAGUGUGGCAUUGGAUAUGAAGGCCAUUUCCGGGUCGGGGGGAGGCGGGUUUGGGCCGGGGGGGAUCAGAGGGGGCGGUGGGACGCCGCAGAUUGGGGGCGGGGCCAAGGCGAGGGAGGCGAUUUGGCAGAAGAUUGGGAGUUGUCUGGAUCAACUGCAUUCAAUCAUGGUAGCAGUGUGGCACUUGCAGAGAGUGUUGUCUAAGAAGCGUGACCCGUUUACUCAUGUGUUGCUGCUCGAUGAGGUUAUUCAGGUGAGAGGGUUUGUUCAAUUGGAUUUGCUUUUCAAUUGUUCUGAUUAUUUGAUGUCUAUGAAUGGUACAGAGCAUGAAUGUUACUUAUGUUCUCAGGUCUCUGCUACUAGCCUAAUUUCUCUAUUAGUUGAUGGAUAUAUGAAAACCAUUUUACUGUAUUUGUUGAAGUAUUAGUUGGUAACCUGGACUUGGUUCGAACGAAACCCUUUAACGGGCUGUUCCUAAGAAGAUGAUAUAUCUUAUGCUGACCGUGCUGAAGUCUGACCAGUCAUUAAAUGUCUUUUGUUCUAAGUUGGUUCUUCUUCCUUUUUGGAUAUCUCUAACAAUUCCUGUCAAUGUGCACCAUGUACCCGUGAUCUGCUGCAGUUUGUAUCUAUUUACUUUGAAUUUUGGUUUACACACAGAUCAUUAAUUUUUCUGUGUAUGAUGAAUGAUUUGCACUAUCUACCGAUUAGCCACCUAGAAAAUUUGCUUAAACUUUUUAAUCUUUCUAGUGGUUGACUUGCAGUCCCAUUCUGGCUUGCAUUACUUCGUUCCAACAAUUUUCCUGCUUGAUUGCUAAUAUUCUUGGUGACGAUUGUUUCUUCUCAUCUUGUCUAAAAUCAAUGACUUUUGCUCACUUUAUAUGUUGCUCAGGAAGGUGAGCCCAUAAUAACAGAUAGAGUGUGGGAGGCCCUUGUAAAGGCUUUUGCCAACCAAAUGAAGUCUGCUUUCACUGCAUCAAGUUUUGUUAAAGAGGUAUUCACUAUGGGGUAUCCAAAGCUUUUCUCAAUGAUAGAUAAUCUUCUUGAAAGAAUUGCACGUGACACAGACGUCAAAGGGGUUUUACCGGCUAUUACUUCAGAGGGAAAGGAACAACUGGUGUCAGCUGUUGAAAUAUUCCAGACAUCAUUCUUGGCACACUGCUUGGGUCGUCUGUCAGACCUUGUGAAUACUGUAUUUCCAGUGUCCAGCCGUGGAAGUGUGCCCUCUAAAGAACAUAUCGCAAGAAUCAUAACACGGAUUCAAGAAGAAAUAGAAGCUGUUCAGUUGGAUGGGCGAUUGACUCUUCUUGUAUUGCGUGAAAUUGGCAAGGUUCUUCUCCUGCUUGCUGAACGGGCUGAAUACCAGGUAAUCUUUAUCUUGCAUAAUCAAAUAUUACCAAUGCAGGCAAAUGAUCCUAGUCUUAUUUUGGCCAAUGUGUAAGACGUCCAAAGUUAGAUGUAAUGAACUUGUUGUAGUUGCUGCAUAACCACAACAUGUUAAGGUUCACAGUCUGUUUAUUUCAUGGUCCAAACUGUUUCACUUGCUCUUUUGGUAAUUGAAUGAGACUGAUUGAAAUUUGGAAUCACGUACUAUCUUAUGGAGGAUUAUUCAUGUGCCCACAGAGAAGAAUGUUGCUGCUGACUAUUUGGUUAAGUUAGGCCUUAACUCUGUUUUGGGUUUUCAUGAGCGCCUAGAGCCUCCUGAUGGGUUGUUGACUAAUCUCGGUGAUGAUUGGGCUGGUAUUUCCAGACCCAGGUUGAUUGUUGUAUAGUUUUUCUUUUCUGUUUUUGGGUUUUGGCCCCAUGUAACCCAAACAUUCUUUUCAAAGGGUAUACCCCCACCUGUACUUUAAUUGAGCUAUCAGACUGCAUGUGAAAGAUGUAUGUAUAUUAUAGAAACUUAUGCUGAGCCUUUUAUUUCGACAAGUGAUUUUUAGCCCAUGUUUGAAGUUUUCUCAUUUUGUAAAUACAUCCCAAUGGCAGAUAUCAACUGGUCCUGAAGCACGUCAAGUCAGUGGUCCUGCAACUCCAGCACAACUCAAGAACUUCAUUUUAUGUCAGCAUCUCCAAGAAAUUCAUACACGCGUAUCAUCUAUAAUUACAGGACUGCCCGCUAUUGCUGCAGAUGUAUUGUCUCCCUCAUUAGGUGCAAUAUAUGGGGUUGCCUGUGACUCAGUGACGACCUUAUUUCAAGCGAUGCUUGACCGUCUUGAGUCUUGCAUCUUGCAAAUUCAUGAGCAGAAAUUUGGUGUGCUAGGCAUGGAUGCUGCUAUGGACAACAAUGCGUCACCUUACAUGGAGGAGUUGCAGAAGUGCAUUCUUCACUUCCGGAGCGAGUUCCUGUCUAGGCUGUUGCCUUCAAAAACUGCAACUGCCGGAGCAGAGACCAUAUGCACUAGGCUUGUUAGGAGCAUGGCUGCACGGGUUUUAAUAUUCUUUAUCAGGCAUGCUUCUCUUGUCAGACCCCUUUCAGAAUCAGGGAAGCUAAGGAUGGCUAGGGACAUGGCUGAGCUUGAAUUAGCUGUAGGUCAAAAUUUGUUCCCAGUAGAGCAACUUGGUGCACCAUACAGAGCCCUUCGCGCAUUUCGACCUCUUAUUUUCUUGGAGACAUCCCAACUUGGAGGAUCUCCUCUCCUUCAAGAUCUACCACCAAGCGUCAUACUUCACCAUCUUUACUCCCGAGGUCCCGAUGAAUUGCAGUCUCCGCUGCAAAGGAACAAACUAACACCUCUGCAGUACUCUUUGUGGCUAGAUUCUCAAGGAGAGGAUCAGGUCUGGAAGGGUAUCAAAGCAACACUAGAUGACUACGCCACACAUGUGAGGGCUCGAGGAGACAAAGAGUUCAGCCCUGUCUAUCCACUAAUGAUUCGACUAGGAUCAUCUUUGACUGAAAAUGCUCCUGCAACCCAAAAGCCUUGAUGUCCAGUGUACCUCAUGUAAGGUACAAAGAUUUUUGCUUUUUCUUUUGACUUUUUCCCCUAGAGUUACACAUUUUAGCUGAACUUUUUGUCAUUCUUCAGGAUUUAGGUCUAUACUCAACAUUUUUGAUAGGUUAAUGUGGGGUUAGCAGCUGACCAACUCUGCAGGACAGCAGCAGCACUCCAGUUCAUUAUAAUUUGGUUUUGUAUCCAUUCUUUCUCCUUCUCACCCUUCUAUUUGUGGUGAUAUUGUUCUCUCUUUCAUGUAAAUUAAAUAGAUACACAUAGUAAAUUGUACCGUGACAUUUUGCUCUCACAUCGUAUGAACCUUUUGUUUCUUCAAUACAUUUUUACACAAUUUCUGGUGGCGAUUUCACAUACUGUUAAUCUACAUAUGUAUGUCAUCCUUUCUUUGCACUUACCCUUGGAACUCUGGUAUUUAGAGGAUCUCAAGUAAAUACAUGAGGAACAUAGCCUCUUUAUCAUUUAAAGGAGGCCUAAAGAUUGAAAGAUAAAAGGAUGAAAGUCGAACUUCUGUCAUGUAGACAUGAGUGCUCUAUCAUUGCGGUUAUAAGUUCCCAUAGUGAGGGAUGACUUUUGUCGAUCGUUACAUUCUUGACACCACUCAGUUGGACCUAAUACAAACGUUAGGUGGUUUGGCAAGGUCAGGUGAUGACUUCGCAUCCACGUUUUGGUGGUGAGACAUUUCACUAUGCCAAGAAAUGUAUUUUAGCUAAAAACUAUUCUUUAUUGGUUAGAUUAAUUAGAAUCAUUUACACAGCUUCAAAGAAAAGCAUUUAUUCAAACUUGGCGAAUUGCUUUUGAUCAGGGUUAAUGGUAUAAGAAAAUAUGAGACGUGGUUGGUUAGAAGAACAGAAAGCUGCUCAAGUCCAUCAGCAGCAGUCAAGAUGAGGAGAGGCUUCAAAACAAAUUAAUUAAUUAAUUAAUUAAACAUGAUUAGUUUGUUAACAACUUCACUUAUCUGCAGUGCCAAUGUGGCACACAGUGAUUUGCAACAGGCUGGCGCCAAAUAUGUAGACAGCCAGCGCCAAAAUUCAAGAUUUUUGAUAUGACAUGGGAUGGGGACAUGGAGGCUACACCAUUCACACCAUCCCUACAUUGAUGUGAUGAUGUCUUUCAAUUUCCAUUUCAACCUUAUAAAAUAAACAUAAAAUUCAGGUCAAAUCACAUUUUCUUUCUGUCCUCCUCGUAGCUUCGCUUGUUUUUCACUUUUGUCUCCAUAAUUUCAAUUUUGAUGAUUUGUGUUCAGUAAUAUUGUUUAGUUAGCAAUUAAGUCUUGCAAGUCUAAUAAUAUUAAGAAAAAUAGAUAAGAUACUCAUGUUUUAGAGUGUCGUAACAUGUGGUUGUUUCAUAUUGCCAUAUCAAUUUUCAUCUACAAAUAUGAUGAAAUUUAUGAUUUGUACUUGAUUGCAAACCAAACCAAACUAUAAAACUAAACUUGUCAAAAUCAAAAUAAUAAGAACCAAAAUGAAAAAUGAAUCAAACUACGGGGACUAAAAAAAUAUAAUUUGGCUAAAAUUUCGACUACAUCCCCUGUUUCUUCUGAAACACAAAUCACUAAUUUUUAUAUAUAAUUAUAUUGAAUAGUUAGCUGCGUGCCAUGAAUGCUCUUCUACCCCAUUGUGGCAUACAGUGUUAUAUAUUAUCUUAAAACCUAUCUUAAUACCAGAAAAUCAUUCUCUUGAAUUGACCAAUGUCUACAUCGUCCCAUGUAAAUACAAACCCUAGCAUUUUCUUUGAUGGGUCAUACUGUGAAAAUGAGAGAGAGAGAGAGAGAGAGAGAGAGAGAGAGAGAGAGAGAGUAUGUGUGAUUUUGGGUUGGUGUAUAAUGUAUAUGGAAGGAUUCCUAUUAUGAAGCUUUCAAUUUUGCAUUUUAAAAAUAGAAGAAAGAAGAAAAAGAAACAAUAUCAUUUUCAGCAUCUUUAUGUCUCUCUGUCCUUUUCUGUUUUCACCACCUUCAAAACUCAGCUCCUUCAAUAACCUUAAUAUUUAUAGCUCUUUGAAUCCUCCGCAUUAGCAUCAUAACAGCUGGGAGGUGAUUCCUAGGGCUGCAAAAUUGUAUCAAAACUAUGGGGAAGAAAGUAAGCCAAACAUCACUGAAAAUAUCUAAGAAAGAGAAGAAAGAGUUUAACAGUUUGAUAAGACUCUUGAGGCCUAAAGUCUACAUCACUGACAGCUCAAGCUUCAAGAGGCUUGUGCAAGACCUCACUGGCAAUGGAGCCUCAAAUCCAAACACUUCUUCCUCCUCACUGCACCCUCAGAAAAAACACAACUUGGUUGAUGAGGAGCAAAUCCCAGUUGUACAUAUUGUUGAUGAUCAGGAUCGGGAGGAUCAAGGAGACACUGAAGGCAGUUUGGAUGCGUCUACCGACACGUCCACGCUUGAUGAUUACUCCGAAUUGUGCAACCAAGUGUUUAUGAGUGAUCAAGAAUUCAACCAGUUAUGUUAUCAGAUAUAUUCAGAUGAUACAACAACAACAACAAAUUAUGAAAGUUCAACAACAGACCAGUUAUUGGUGGAUGACAUGUUACCUUUUCAAGAUCUUGAGUCAUGGCUUUUGGACACUGAUCAUCCUUAUGAUCCUUUUUUCAACAAUGGUUUUGCUCAAAUUGAUCAGCAAGUCAGCAUAUACGACUACGAGCUAUCGGGGCUACUAUCAUCGAAUUAAUUGUUUGUUGUGUUGUGUGACCAUCUGCUCUGUAAUAUUCUUCCUCUUGAUGCUCUAAGUAGUAAGUACAUAUGUUCUUAUAUAGCAAAAGAUGUGUGUAUUCAAUGUGUAUUCUUUGUAUAGAGAGCCCAUUUUCCGCUUUUACAAGUUACUCUUUAUAAUUUCUUCAAUCUAUACUUUGUAUCCAUCCAUGCUCUAGGGUCCUUCAGAUUACAUGUAUAUAUAUUAACUUACCUGAACUGGUGUAUCAUGAGAUUAAUUGUUUCAAUCAAUCAGCAUGCCCGAAAUUUUGCGUGCUCGACAUAUAGAUUGCUUACACAUUUUUUUUCACAAUGACAAAAGAAUUCUGCCAAGCAUGAUUAUUCUCAUUCUUAAGACAGUUGUUAAAUACUGUGAUCUUACAGCAGGGGGCCCUUUUGACUUUCAAAAAUUGUGAAGCAUCAUCAGCAAGUUCCAGAAUUUAGAUUGUGAUUGGAUCAAUAAAUGCACUGUGAGAUUGCUUAGAUUUUGUGGCCUAAGCAAGUUCAAGGGAAAAAGAUUUUAUAUAGAAACAAGCUGUUUUUAAAGACCAUUUUGUAAUGAUGAGAUUGGAGCAAAAGAGUUGAACAUAGGAACUGGAAGCUGGAAAUGUGAGAGAAAAACAAAUGGGAACCUGAAGCAGGAAUAUUUUCCAUAAACAGAUAUUAUAUGUUUCAAAACAUAGCAAUUCUAGAAGCUUGGGGAAAGAAAAAGAGAAAAUUUUAUCUAAUUGAUGCAGAGCUAAACAGGAAGACUUGUGAAUAUAAGAGAGUGUGCACUCAUUAUAACAUAUUGCAGACAAUAAUUAGAUAAUUAGAAAUAGAUAUAAUUGCUGUUUCUUAGUCCUAAAGAACAGGUGAAUCAACAAGCUCUGCUAGGUCAUCUCUGCUAUGCAUAAAUUUUUUCUCUUUAUUACAAGGAUCUAAACUGUCAAGCAAUUCUUAUUCAAAUGAUUAAUUAUAGAUUAUGGGAAGGAAAUUUUUUCCUGAAUCAACAAAUCCCGAAAGCGAAACUCCAUCUUUACAUUUCUGGGAUCCGGUAGGCGGAUGAUGACAUAUGAUAUAACUUUAUUACACAUAAAAGAAACGUAACAAUACAUAGAUAUUACAUAUUUGGCCUGCAUUAGCUAAUAAAGAAUUCCAAGGUUUCUACAUCAGAUGGAAACAAGAAUUCCAAGCACACAGGAAAGCAAUUUUUGCUUUUCAGCAUCGGAGAAACCACUCCCCAAUGAUUAAAAGAUAAAUUUCCAUCAAGUCCUAUGUUUCCUGAGUCUGUGUAGACAGCAACCUAAACAGCAAUAAAAGCUUCUAUAUGCAUUUGCAUUCCAUUUUAUACAGUAUGAAUGUACAUACAACUCCUAUCCACAUCAUUCUUACAAGUCUAAAACUAAUGCAGCUCAGUGAUCUUACAAUCCAAUUUGUGUGUAUGCGAUCUAACAAUCUAAAUUGUGUGUAUGCACUCAUUUACGAAGAUAACUCUUGAUUUCAUUUUGACCAAAACAUAUGUUGAUGCCACUCUAUCUAAAAGUUGCAAUAAGUGCAUCUUCAUCGAAGAAUUCCGCAGGCUGUCGAUAUAGUUUCAUUGCAGCAUUCGUUUGAACUAUCUAAUUUUUGGUCUACUUGGUUGAGCUAUCUUAUAAGGUUCAAUUGUAAAAUCCUGAAUUUAGAAUGUGAUUGGAUAUAGAAAAUGCAAUGAGGGAUUGCUAUAAUAUUUUGUUUGUGUAAGCAAGUUGAAGAAAACAGAUUCUAGCGUAGUUCAGGCAUAUCCUCUUUCAAGUCCUCCCAAUCUACCUCAAGCCUCACGAGACACAAACACAGACCUCCAAGUUUCCAGGAAGCAGUCUGGGAUUAAACCUGUUGGGCAUAGUUUUAUGAAGGUAAUUCCUAAGAUACAGCUCUUGGAGUGUUGGAGGAGGAUUCAGGUUGUCUAGCAUUUUGAAAACAUCGCUCUUUGUACAACCUUCAUCGUCAAUAGCUAAAACCUUGAGCCCUUUAAGCUGAAAUAGGACAUCAGGUGCAUUGUCUGAGAUUACUGUGGUAUUACUUAUACGUAUUUGUCGUUCUCUUAUGGUGGUCAGUUCCUUAAUCUUAAGAAGAGAGGCACAUAGCUUUCUAGGAUGACUCACAACGAAUCCAUAGAGUUCUUGAAGAUACGAAAGCCUUCUUAAUCCCCGAGGCAAGUACUUGAUGGGGCACUUGUCUAGGUCCAGGAUGAUCAGCAUCUUCAAAUUAGUGAUUGAUGGGUGUAGUUUCACUAGAUUGAAGCACCCAUUUGAAACCAACACUUGGGAGGUUGCGGAGUUUAUUAAUUGAAGAUGGCACUUCUAUUAUCUUACACGUAUAGACUCUCCCAUCAAGGCCUCGACACUGCACAAUUUCAACGAGGCAUCUGCUGAGUAGUUGUAGAGCUGUUUUUGAGUCCUUGCCCUGGACCAGGCCCUCUCCAAUCCACCAGGGGAUUAAAUUAUCAGCAUUUAUCUCAAAGUCUUGAGGAUAUAUGGAGAAACACAACAGGCAGUGCUUUAGAGAAGGCAGGAGUUCAUCAUAGCUCAAUCGCAGGGAAGCCAUAACUGAAUCAGUUUUUCCCCCAGUUGUAAAAGUAUGAAAAGCUUCCAGAAUGUACCACUCGGAAAUGGAGUUUCUCUUUGACGACAGUAAGGCCAUCUCCAGGUGCGUAGGGAUAUAUUUAGUUUCGAGCGACAUUUAAUCUUUAAUAAAUGAUUUUAUAAAAAAUAAUGUCAAGCUACAUUUUAAUUAUUAUAUUUUUAUCUCAUAUUUUUAUAUUAUAUGAUGUGAUAUCUCUAUAUUAUAUGUCACAUCAAUUAAAUCAAUAACUUGCAUUUUAGUAAAGAAAGUUAGAAAAGCAAAAAUUGAAAUAAAUAAAAAUAAAAAUAAAGCCCUAGCAACCAACCCCACAAAGCCACCAACCGCCACAGCCAUCACCACUGGCCAGUCUGGUCAUUCUCCUCCUCCUCCUUCUUCUCUCGCUCUCUCUCUCCCCAUUAUUUUCAAAUACUAAACGAACCCACAUCAUCCCUAAUCUAACAUUUUCCAUCAUACCCACAAAUAAAAACAAAUCCAACUUCAAAAUUAUAAAAAAUGGUAUCUAUUGACCCAAACAUGACCUCCUCCGAAGUGCUAGAGAGUGAGAGUGUUGGAGAGAGAGUGAAGGGAAGCAGAGAGAGAGAGAGUUGGUGGUGUGAGAUUGGGGGGUUGAUGUGAUAGAAGAAGGAGAAGAAGGAGGAGAAGAAGAAGAAGAAGAAGCAGCAGCAGCAACAGUCUAUGAUGACGGUCGCGGUUGGAGUCCACCGCAUCUCCUUAGGCUUGGGCCGGGUUUACAGGCUUUUAUAAUUUUUUAGGCUGGGCCGAGGUUUCAAAGGUUUUGGCCCAGGCCUACCCAUCGGGCCAGGCUUAGACGGGCCUCCAUGGGCCUAAACGGGCCGGACUUUUUUUAAUACAUAAAAAAAUUUAAGUUUUUAAAAAUAUUUUAAUUACACUUUAUUUUUUGGGGUCAAAAGUGAUGAAUAAAGAGUAAUCUCUUAAACUAGUGGCUGAGCAGGAUUGUGAGAAUGGGGUUUUCUUAAUGAUUUUUUUAAAAUUUUAUUAUUGUGAAAAAGGACAAAAAAUGUCAUCUAACUUAAUAUUUAACUCUAGUACAUCUACACACACCCCCACACCCCUCCACUACUCAUAUUAAGUUUAAAAAAAAUACAAACUUCUCUACACCUUAUUGCCAGAUUACUAUUCUCUUUCAAUUUAAGAAACCUACUACACUCUCAUCUUCUCUUCACAAACUCUAAAUACAACAUGCAAAUAGUAACUUGUGAGUCGUCAAUUGAGGUAUGCUACUUAGAGGGAUAAUUAAUGUUACAAUACCAUUAAGAUUAUAAGACCCUCAAAAGAAGAAAAGGGAAAUUAUAAAAAUGAAACAAGCAAUUUUUUUUUUCUUUAAGCUCCAUCCUUGCAGACUCGUAAAGUCUGCAAUUUGCAAAAACUAAAACUAAUGCUUCUAAGGUUGAGCUGAGAACCCAAAAAAUGGUAUCAAGAUCACAAUAGCUGAUCCUCCACUAUAACUACAGAAAAAGGAGAAUUUCAGAACCUUCUCAUUUUACAACACAUUUGAAAAUCUUCGAGACUCCGAAGCCACAUAGUUUAUAACGACAAUAACCAAACAAGCCUCAAUCUCGUGUCCAAUUAAAAACAAAUACUAAUAUACGAAAUUAAUAACACCCCAACAGAAGAAAGGCGCACCUUGAACAUUGAUCUUCUGAUAGAAAAAUCGCUUCCAACAGGAGCAGUAAGUGAACCCUACAAGCAAAAUCAUUAAAACCCAAUAACAAGAACACAAAAUUAAUCAAAUAUCUUCAUUAAAACCCUAAACCCAUAAUAAUAAAAUAAUGCUGCUACACAUUUAACAACAGUGUUUUUAUCUCUUUAAGUAAUGUUAAGUUGAGGUAAACUUAGUGUGGUGAGGGGCAAGAUAGCGGGGUGUGGGGUGUGAGGUUAAUGAGUUUUUUAAUUUUUUUUUUCUUAUGCUGAGUGUGUAUUUAGAGGUAGUUUGGGAAGAUAGUGAGAUUUUCUUAGAAAUUGUAAAAAUUUGAAUUAGAAGUUGGUGUGAACAAAGAGAAGUGCGGGGUUUAAAUAGAAAAACUCAAACUUAAGAGCUUAAUGAUUUAAGUAUUGGGGUAAACAAAGAAAAAUGUGGGGUUUAAAUAGAAAAACUCGUUCUUAAUUCUGUUUUUACUUUUCAAUAUGCAAAGGAAAAUGCUCAGGUUACCACAUUUUUAUACCACAUUGUAUAUCACUUCUCUAAUAUACAUGGGGCCCAUUGUAUUGGUGGACUCCAUCUCUAUUAGAGAGGUGGUACACAAUGUAGUAUAAAAAUGUGGUAAUCUUGGCAUUAAUGCUACUCUUACCACAUUUGUAUACCACCUUAUAUGACAGAUGAGGUGGACAGUCACAUCAAUUAAAAUUAAUUAACACUUUUUUUUUAAUGAUUUAUUAACACUUAAAAAAGAACUAUUAAUUAAACUUUCUUUAUUAAAAUACACUUCAUUUAUUUAAUUGAUGUGACAUAUGAUAUGGACAUGUCACAUCAUGUGGUAUGAAAAUAUGAUAAGUGUAGCAUAUGAAAUAAAUAAGAAAGAUGGACCCAACGAAGUAAGUUAAUUAAAAAAAAAAAAAUUUUGAGUGAUGUUAAACGAACCCUAAAAUUAACUGAGUAUACCCUAUAAUUUAAGUUAACCAUAAUAUUUUAAUUAAAAUAUAAAAUGAACUAAGUACACCCUAUUUAACUACCAAAAAUAGCCCUAGUAUAACACUCUAAUACCAAUCCUAAACCAAGUUUAUCUUUUUACAUGAAUCUGUGCUAUCUUUUCAGAUUUUGGGUUUCAUCAAAAUCUUUAAUUUCGUAAUACAAAUCCUAAACUAGUACUCAUUGCGUUAUUCGUGAGCACCAAGCAAUACGAAGACUUUUCUAUGUCUAAUAAGGGUUGAAUAUAGUGAGUGAGGUUUACUUAUUAAAAUUUUAUUUGUUUCACAAUUCAGUAUAUCUUUUUUGGUCAUUUUAUAUCAAGGUAAAUUAGUAAUUCAAUAAAUAGUUUGAUAGUAAAGUGUACUCAGUUAAUUUUAAGGUUCGUUUAGCAACACUCAAAAAUUUCCAUGUGCUAAUUGAAAGGCUCAAACUUCAAGCACUGUUAGUAAAAAUUUAAGGCUUCAAAUGUUCUCUGUUCCUCACUUUCAUUUUUCUUCAAUGCUUUAUUUUUUAUAAUCAAUCAGUUAUUGUGCAACCCAUUUGGACAUUUUAGAAGCUUUUUUAAAAAACUCUGAUAUUUUUCUGAAUUUUGCAGAGAAGAUAACAAGGUAGGAGAAGAAUGGUGAGAGAGAGGAACCUCGUACAUGGUGUGCAUUAAUGUUUUCAAAAAGUAAAUAUAGGCACAACAAGGAAUCUAGUGUCACAGGGUCCAGAAUAAAUUUUUUUUCUUAAAUAUAUAUUUGGGCUAACUGAAAAUUUUUGUUGGCCCUUAAAUUUUGGGGUCCUGUACUAUUGUGUCCUGCCUGCAUUGGGCCAGAGCCAACCUUGUUUUAGUUAUUAAACUUGGAGGCACGAUUGCAAACAAGAAAAAUCAAAGCAUCUUCAAAAAACAGAAUCAAGCAAGGUGAUCAUUUAAAAAAAAGAAAAGAAAAAGAAAAAGAAGAAGCUUAAUUCGUCAUAGAAUCAAGCAAAGUGACAUGAGUUUCUUACAAAAUAAAGUCCCGCGGUUGCAAAUCAUUGCAGCUUGGGACGACUAAAGAAUAGAGAUAGUUAUAGUUAUUUCUUACUUUUUCCACUUUACACUUGUUAAUUAUAAAGAUAAAGUGCAUUUGUUUAAAACAAACAUAUAAUGCAUACUUGGCAUAAGUGGGUUAGACUAAUUGGAAAAGGUAGUGAGUUCACUUCCUUGUACCUAAGUUCAAAUCAUCUUCUUCAUAGAUUAGAUUGAUUUAAUGUAGAUUAUCUUUUGUAUAAAAAACAAACAACAAAAAGAAAUAUUUUUGAGCAACCUUCUGAUUUAAGUCAUUCACCCAUACUUUCAUUUUCUUCUUCAAUAUUCCUUAGAUUUAGUGAGUUAUGAAAUCAAAUCCAAUACUAGUCACCAAACAUGGCCGUAAAGCAUGUUCAAGAGUGUAUUAACACAAGGAUCAAGCUUUUCCAUGAAGUCAAUACUCAAUCUACUGAUAAUUAAUCAUUUGAAGGUAAUAUUUUCCAUAUCACCUUGGCAUAACUUGAGUCUUCAACCUUAUAAUAAAAAGCAUAAAGCAGUUAAGCAUCCCUUCAUUUUGUUUAAUCAAUUAUCAGAUUUUGAAAAAGCAUCCAUGUUCACAGUCCCCAACACAAACUAAAUAAAUCAAUAAAGGACAAGCCCCCAGAGCAUACUUGGAUUGGAGGUUUCAAAUGUCGCUGACAAUUAGAUUCGUCUCCAAUCACGACACGCCACGUGAAAACGAAGAUUAUUUUUUAAAUUAAUUAAUUGAACUAGUUUAUCUGGUCAAUUAACUAAUAGGGAUAAAUAUCUUAAUUAAUAGGAUAUUAUCUUUAUUUAAUAAGAUAAUAUCAUUAAUUCAGAUAUUAUCUUAAUAAAGAGAAGAUAAUAUCGUUAAUUCAGAUAUUAUCCUAAUAAAGAGAGAUAAUAUCAUUAAUUCAAAUAUUAUCUUCAAUGAAGAGAUAUAAUCAAGCCCGACUCGAUCCCUACGAAUUUGGGUAGAGAAUAAACUUAUCAUAUUCUCUACGAAACCCUAGCCCCGAGGCUCCUAUAGAUGGACGAUCUCAUUCAUCAUUCAAGGUACAUCUAAACCUACUCCUAAUACCCGAGAAAAAUACCCGAAGCUCUCUCUCCACUCUUCACUCUCCAUAUUUUCUCCACACGGCUCCGGCCGCCCGGUUAACACCAUACAUACAACUCCGUACGCUUUGCUUAGCUAUUGUUUUCCUACAAAUACUCGAACUAACUUAGGUAUCGUAGGGCCUUUGGCCAACACCCCUCGGGUGUGGUCUAUUUACUCAAUUUCUUUUUUUAUAAGAACCGAGGAAGAGAGAAAAGGAAGAUUGAAGGUUGAAGGAUCUAGAAGCAAAUAUUCUCUCGUGAGAUUAUUUGGACAAACAACCAUAUUAAUAAAAAAAAGCUUCAAAUUGUAAUAGAAUCAAGCAAAGUGACACAUUACAAAAUAAGUCACAACAUUGCACUUUGAGAUGACCGAAGAAUAUAAUAAAUAAAGCUUGAGAAGGACCCCAUGCGGGGUAUGAAUUGUCAAAUAAUUAUAAAAUAAUGUGAUAAUAUGAUCACGUGAUAUGUCUUGUACAUGUGUAAUAAUAUGAAUGGACAACAUAGUUUAUUUUGUACUAGCCCCAUGGCACAUGCGUGACCAAUUGGUUUUCUUUUUCCUUUUUAUUUUAUUUUUAGAAUUAAGAAAAUAUAAUAUGUGUAGUUGUUUUCUAUAAAAAUAGGAUCAAUUAUUUGAUUUUUCUUUUUCUUUUUUUUAAAAAUUAUUUUUAAUAUGAAAAAGUGUGAAUUUAUCAUAUUAUCCUUAUUUAAUUAAUAUUUUUAAUUUUUAAUAUUUGCAUUAACCAAUGACAUUUUUUGAUAUUUUAAAUGGUUCACCAUUCUCUGCCUUUUACUUUAUAUAUAUAAAUAUAUAUUAUAAUAUAAGUGAACAACAUGAUUGUACUACCGUACUAUUUUAUAAUUAUUUCUACUUUUGUAUACAUGACGAGAAUGAAAAGCAUAUAUAAAAUGAUAAGCACCACUUUAACUUGAUGAGAUAUAUCUAAGAGAGAAUAUUUUGAAAAUGGGUCAUACUAAAAAAGACCACAUAUAUAAAUCAUCUUAUGUAUUAUCUUAAUACAAUGUCUCCCUAACAUUUUCCAUGAGGCACGAUUGCAAACAAGAAAAAUGAAUGAAAGCAUGUUCAACUUUCAAGAAUAGAUAGUGUCUACAGAACAUAAAAUAUAGCACAAGCCUCAAGAUUUUCCAUGAAGUCAGUACUGUAUCUACUGCAAUCAUGUUGCUCAUCGCUUGGCUAAAGUUUCUCUCUAUUGAUGGUUUGGUUGACUGGAAUGAGUGGCCCCAUGCUAUCAUCAGGAUGCCCUCUUAAAUGAUUGUAAUUUGCUCUAGUUUCUUUAAUGAAUUUCGUUCUUUAAAAAACAAAUAAAAAAUAAAAAAUACCUUCACUUUAUGAAAAAAGACCAUGACAAUUCGGUAACACAACACAAAACCAACUAUUAUUCAAUACAAGACAAGUCCCCAGAGCACACGAGAAUCGGAGGUUUUCAACUUGAAAUCUCUGGAAAUGACAACUCGAUGGGAUGCUAUAUUAAGGAGAAUCUAGCAACUUUCUCUCGAAAAAGAAUAGUGAUUAGAAAAUUAUUAUUUUUAAUAACUACAUCACAUUACCACGACACUAAUUGUCGUUAGAGAAUUAAUUCUUCACUAUUAAACAAGAACCGAACAAACGAAUACAAUUAACGUAUUUGAAGCCAGCUGAAUGUGUGUUUCUUGGUCCCCGGCAAGGCACAGUUGGAUUGCUUUUAUUGUGAUGCCAAGUCAUUGCACCUGCUACAUUUAUCAGCAGCUGUAUAAAGAGGGGGAUUAGAUUUGAGGUUGUAAAACUUUUGUUUGCUUAAAUUUCACAAUAAAAAUAAAAUCCGCAUAUAAAUUUAAUUAUUUAAGAAAAGGAGAGGGGUUGGAAAACUCCUCUGUUCUUGCAUAUUGCAGAGGGAUUGAUGUAUGCAUACAAUAACAAUAGGGCAAGCAGUUAAUUAUAACAAGCUGCAGACAUGAACUAGAUACAGAGGACUAACUUUAUCGUGGCGUUAACUUACUUGCUUAAUUUCUGACCUUGAGAUUUGCUCCAAAAUAUGUUUUUCUCAUAUUUGUCCUUUUCAAUCUCAUGGCAUUUGACUUUCUCCAAGUACAACAGAUGAGGAAACUGAACCUCCACCUCUUUAAGUUCUAUUUUCAUAUUACUCAAGUACUUGAGACGCAAGAUUUCCACCCUCCACUUACACUCGGUGACAGUCUCCUCCCCUGCAUGGUCUAAGCUACAAAGUUCCCCUCCUCUUAUGUAGAGCUUCUUUAUAUUUGUCAGUUGCCUUGGAUUCAGCCAUGGAGGUACUUCUUUUAGAGGGAUGCCUUGCAGAUCCAAUUUUUCUAAAUCCGGUGGGAAUGAGAAAUCCAGGGACUGGCGGGCAAUUUUUCCUCUUAACUCUGGAGAAACCACUGCCCAUGAUAUUUUGAGGCGGCGAAGAG
RNAcentral lists this long non-coding RNA (55312 nucleotides) under Prunus persica (peach). Its description in RNAcentral is "long non-coding RNA (PPER_LNC003762)". The record is from RNAcentral. Lineage: Eukaryota; Viridiplantae; Streptophyta; Magnoliopsida; Rosales; Rosaceae.